Molecule: long non-coding RNA, 62009 nt
Filed under: Brachypodium distachyon (stiff brome)
Lineage: Eukaryota; Viridiplantae; Streptophyta; Magnoliopsida; Poales; Poaceae
Description: long non-coding RNA (BDIS_LNC005261)
Source: RNAcentral
ACGGCGUCAAGUUCGGCGAGGCCGUCUGGUUCAAGGCCGGCUCCCAGAUCUUCAGCGAGGGAGGCCUUGACUACCUCGGCAACCCCAGCCUUGUCCACGCCCAGAGCAUCCUUGCCAUCUGGGCCUGCCAGGUUGUACUCAUGGGCGCCGUCGAGGGGUACCGUGUUGCCGGUGGCCCGCUCGGUGAGAUUGUUGACCCACUCUACCCAGGCGGCAGCUUCGACCCCCUUGGCUUGGCUGACGACCCAGAGGCAUUCGCUGAGCUCAAGGUGAAGGAGAUCAAGAACGGCCGCCUCGCCAUGUUCUCCAUGUUUGGGUUCUUCGUCCAGGCCAUUGUCACCGGCAAGGGUCCCCUCGAGAACCUGGCCGACCACCUGUCCGACCCAGUGAACAACAACGCCUGGGCCUUCGCCACCAACUUCGUCCCCGGCAAGUGAGCUUAGUUAGCAAGCUCCAGCGCCUGCUCUAUGCUGAGGCGCUUGGCCGACGACGUCAUUGUUGAUGAUGGAUGCUGCUGCAUGUGUCGAGAUUGAGUCAGGAGUCAGGACUGAUAGAUGUUGCAUGUGAAAGUCAGAGAUGAGGAGUUGGUGUUGUACACUAAAGAUGGUGUUUGUGUAAUAUCCCUCGGUUAUUUGUGAGAUGAAUCCGGGCAUCUUUGUUCUUCUGCUCACUUGUUCAUUUCUCUCUCCUCUUGAAUGCGUGCUGUUUGCAUUAGAAGGAGAACGCCGAGAAAGCGCACCUCACUCGUUGCAUUGGUUCUACUUCCUCUGAAUCUGAAUGUGUCUGAAAGUUGUCUGAAUUUUCUGAAAGUCCAAGCCGGUAAGUUGUCUGAAUUUUCUGAAGUCAAAUUUCUAUUUAAAUGUUGUACAAAUCUUGGGUUCCUCCUAGUAAAAACAAACUAUGGAACACUGCCAACUAGUGCAGCUUCCUUGUGAAGAUGCUGCUGUACUACCGUCCCUGAAGAACGGUCAUGGUUAUGCUGUUCCUGGUGUUCUCAAGAUCGUCUCUCUUUGCUUCCAUCAGCGCGAGAUAGGCAGGCUGGUUUGGUUUCGGCAGCGACAAUGUCGACGACGAGGACCCGCUUCCAUUCUCCAGGAUGGACACGACGGCCGACAUGAGCGGCCUCCUGCUCGGGUCGCCCUCGACGCAGAGGAGCCCGACGUGGAUGCAGAGCAAAGCCUCCUCCUGCGAGCAGCUUCCUGCGAUGGAUGGAUCCACCAGGCCGCCUGCCUUUCCUUCCCUCCACAGGUUCCAUGCCUGCAUGAAACAAUCAAAUCAACCAUUCUGUGUUUUUUCUCUUAAAAUUCUGGUGUCAGUGGCUGUUCUAAUUCAGAUGCUCACAUAGACUAUGAGGCUUGGAAACUCCAUGAUGUCAUCAGGAGAGCUUAUCCUGACACCGCUCACGAUCUCCAGGAGCAGCACGCCGAAGCUGUAGACAUCGGACUUGACAGAGAAAACGCCCUCCGUAGAGUAUUCAGGAGCAAUGUAACCACUGUCCAGUGUCCCCACAAAGUUUUCAGAAGACGUGCCAGAAUUUUGUCAAAUGCUAAAAGCUAACUACAGCUUAAAAAGCAAAAUCUAUUUUUUUGUUUGUAAAUCUAGCUUCAGUAUUCAGAGUACUAACAAUGUUCCGACGACUCGCUUGGUGUUGGCAUUCUGCUGGUUGUCGCAGAAGAUCUUGGCCAUGCCGAAAUCCGCUAUCUUGGGCCGCAUCUCAGCAUCCAGCAGCACGUUGCUUGCCUUGAGAUCUCGGUGUAUCACUGUCAACCUCGAGUCCUGGUGGAGGUAGAGGAGCCCCCUCGCGACGCCCUUGAUUAUCUCCAGCCGCGUCGGCCAAUCCAGCACCGAUUUCCUUUCACUAUCUGAAGCAAAAAGAUCACAUGAGACCGUCAGGAAUCGUAUCAUCAUUUUCUGUUCUUUCUUUCUUCAGUAACUUGCUUGAGUUCUGAACAUAUAUACAUACCGAAGAGGAUGGCGUCCAGGCCUUUGUUGGGCAAGUACUCGUAGAUGAGCAACUUCUCUGCUCCUUCCGUGCAGCAGCCGAGGAGACGGACCAAGUUUCUGUGUUGCAGUUUGGCGAUCAGGAUGGCUUCGUUCUUGAACUCUUCUGUUCCUUGGUCAGAAUCCUUGCUCAGUCUCUUGACAGCAACCUCUCGACCGCUCUCUAAUGUCCCCUUCCGAAUGAUACAUGAAACAGGCGAGAUCAUGAGUAUAAUUCAGUAUUUCAGUGCAUCGAUCAAUGCUUCCGAGUUGAAAUUUAUUUAUUUUGGUAAACUGGAAGAAGAGAAAAAUUCUCAGAUAACUGAAAAAGUGAAAAUCAACAGGCCAGAUGAAAAAUCAUACUACCUUGUAAACCUUGCCGAACCCUCCACGCCCGAUCAUGAAUGCUUUGGAGAAGUUUCCCGUGGCGGCCACGAUGUCGACGAACCGUACGGAUGGGAACUCAAGAUCUUCAGCGUGUUCUCCUUCUCCGAUCUCAGUCGACGUAUUCGCGCUCCCGGGCACCAGCUUCUUCUGGCUCUCGGUUUUUCUCCCCUUUUCUGUAAAUUUUGAUGUCCCAAGCAUUUCAUCUCCGAUGAGCAUGGCAUGUUUAGAGAUACUAAUAAAAAGAGAGGAAGAUAAUAUAAUUGUAUGUAGCACCUCUGAACCUACAGAACCACACAAACAAAAUGCAUGCGAGCAACAAGACGCCGGCUAACACCGGCAGUGCUAUUUUCAAGGCAUUUUUGCUUGCCAUUGUACCUGCACGUGCAAAAAGUCAAAACAAUGGCAAAGUUUGGUGACACAAUCGAUUUCGGCCAAAGGGGCAAACUUCUUCUUUGAAUUCUGUUGAAAUCCAAUAAAAUUCUGGAAAAAAGUCCGGUAGUACUACUAAGAGCUGAUUUCUAUUUCAAUCUGGGUGAAAUUCAGGUACUGCUGGUUUUUGAAGUUGUAACUACCUGCGGAACCAGCAGGAGGAAGGGGGACGCGAAGGUAUAGCGUGUCGGCUAGGGAGGCCCAGAGGGGCCCAAUCAUCUGCGUGUCGACGAGGUCCCCGGCCCACAAGAGGCACCGCCUGACGUCCCCCUUGGCGCUGCUGCUCUGCAGCUUGGCGUACGCGUACGCCAUGCAGGAGCAGUUCCCGGCGCACCUCGCCGCGCACUCCUCGGCGCUCCUGUUCCCGCCGUCCAGCACGAACUUGUCCGGCACCUUCACCCCCGCCAUGGCCAAGAACCCACUCCCAUGCCCGCACGGCGGCAGCGGCUCCUUCCGCCGGCACCCCUUGGAGAAGUCACCGCCGGUGGCCCACGCCGGCUCGAAGCCGUCCAGGCACCUGCAAGCCGCCGCGGCGACGUCGCAGUACCCGUAGGGCCCGCAGUAGCCGUACCGGCUGCACCCGCUGGACGGCCAUGACCCCACCGUGGCCCACGCCGAGGCGCUGCCGUUCCAGCCGAGGAGCUGGAACUGGCCGGAGCUGGUGAGGACGAACCGCGUGGGGGCCGCGCCGGGGGAGACGGUGAAGGUGUUGGAUAUCUCGUCCUCGGUGUCGACGAUGGCGGUGUACACCACGGUGCCGGUGCCGCUGACGUAGCUGGCCUGGACGGUGUAGCCGUUCCACACGGGGCUGCGCCAGUGAGGGCGCGUCCCGUCCCAGACGAGCAGCUGGAGGGCGGUGUCCGGGUCCAUGCCGUAGGAGAAGCGCCCCGGGGACGGGUCCUCGGGGGAGCUCCAUGACACGAGGCGCCCGCCCUCGUGGGUCCGGUGGUUCAGCCAGACCUUCAUGCCCGGGAGGAACGUGUCGGCCGGGUGGUCGAAGCUCUGCCACAGCGCGGUCCCGUUGGCGGACCGGAGGACCAGGUUGCCGGCGUUCGUGAGCACGGCCAGCGCCGCGGGCGGCGAGCCGCUCGCCAUGCCGGUCGUCCAGACCGCGCGCCCGUCGGCGUCGGACAGGACGAGGUUGGAGGAGUCGUUGUCCAGCGCGAGCCUCGGCGCAGAAGUGCCGUUGGUGAUGGGGGUUUCCCGGUUGGCGACCCACACGACGGUGUUGACGGGGAUGCUGUUGUACCAUAUGCCGAGGUACUGUCUGUCCGGAGUGGAGAUGGACGGGGAGAAGAAGCCCAGAGCGAAGGCGCCGCCGUCCGACACUAGGGGCUUCCCGGGCGCGAGCAGCUCGCCUGCGACCAGCUCGUCGCCGGCCCCCGCGCACGGGCGCGGCGAAAGGAAGAAGAAGCAGACGACGGCCAGGGCCGCGACGACGACGACGCGGCCGGCAGCACGCGCCAUGUCCGUCGAUCGAUCGCGAUCGAUCAACAGCGUUGAUUGAGACGGGAGAAAGAACUCAAGCUUGGCAUUGGCAUGCAGCUAGUAGUAUCAUUUUGCGCUGGAUUGUGAUGUCUGUUGAGUCAGGUCGCGCGCCUUGGCCUGCAAGAAGUCUCUCAACUCCAUUGGAUCCUUCCUGUUGGUUGGAGUUGGAGAUGGACGUUUAUUCAGCGCUUGGACUGGACAGUCUUUCUCUGUGACGCGAUCAAGGCCAACAACUGCACAGUUGAUUUUUUUUAGGGAUGCACAGUUGAUAUCUUAUGCUUUUGGAACGAUGGUGCGACCCGAUUAACGCGCUCAAGUCGCAGGUAAAACCUACGGGUACCUAGACUCAGAACAUAUGAAAGAAAAUCUGAAAUUGUUCCGAACGUUUUAUUCAGUCAUUUGUUACACAAUAUGGAUUUAUUUCUGAAUUUGUUCAUAGUUUGGACCGGACUAGGUGCGACCUUGCGGAGUACGUUGCUCCGCAUGAUUGGAUGGAAAUCUACAAACCAUGAUGCCAUGGUCAAUCUCAUGAGUUACAGUUUAGACUUCAGAGCUGUGCGUGCGUGCAUAUGAACGCGUGCGCGGCGUGCCCUUCACCUCAGUCAACGCGCGCUUUGUCUUCUCACACAGCUUGUUCCUCACACUCUAACUUUGCCCCGACCGUGUUGUUCUACCAUUCUGUUUUAAAAGCAAGCAAACAAAAUUUGCCUUUGUAACAACACGUCAGAGAAGAAGAACAACAACACCUAAUCGCUGACGUAGAAUCACUUCUGUCGAGUUGGGUUUUGUCAUGUCCUGAAUUAUUUUACAGGUAUUUUGAUAAAAGAUGUGGCAGAGUAGGUAAUACAGACACAUUCUCUGUCACACAAAGGUACACCUCGAUGAAUUUUGGUUGGCCGCAAGAUAUAGACUACUCCAGUAUCUGGUCUUGUAAGAUUUAUGCUUGACUUCUUAUCAAGCAAGGGAUUAAGGUAAGAUAUGUGUUGCUGAAGCAAAAAAAAAAAUUGUGGAGGAUGAUAAGUGCACAUUCGGCUGUUCCUUCCUGAGCUAGUAUCUGUAAAGUUAAUACCUACUAAAUGCAUUUAACGUUUGCAAGUUACAAAUGCAAAGUGUCCAUAUCAUCGUUCACAUUACCAUCCACCCCAUGUAUUCUAGCCCACAAGCAAUCCAUUUUGGUGACUCCUACGACUCAACCUUUUAUCUCCUAAGAAUCUUUACCCACGUUGUAUAUAAAUAUUUCACCAAGUAUAAUAUCUAUGAAGUUGAUCCUCACUAAAAUGCAUUUUGUUUGCAAGCUCCAUGUGCAAAGUGUUCACAUCACCAUACACGUCAUGUGUUGUAGCUCGCAAGCAAUUCAUUGUGGUGGCUCCCUACGAUUCAACAUUUUAUCUCGUAAGACUUUUCACCUUGAUGUUGUAUGUAAAUAUUUCACGAACUAUCCUUUUUUUUAUGUGUGCGUUGUUUUUUCUAAGAAAUGCGAAUACUUCCUGAAGCUUUUUUUCGAUUUUCCAAAAUUUACUGUUCAUGUACAUCAAAAUUGCUCCUAUUCUUUGGAUGAUGAAGUAGUUUGGCCAUACAGUAUUCAUAUUUGUUUUGUAUUUGAUCAUAUUAUUAUCAUUUAUUCUUACGUCAUGUCUAGAUGUGCAAACAUAAUUUUUCGUGGCAGCGCGGGGAAUCAACCAGUUGCAUGUGUGGAUCCUUGAUCUACAAGCAAAACAGAUUGCAGAAGAAAAUCCUUUUUUCCCCGAAAAAAAGAUUGCAGAAGAAAAUGAAUAAAUGCUUUGACGAAUGGCUUGUUGUAGCAUCCCCGUAAGUUCCAGACGAUUGAAUAAUGCAAAGUUUUCGGAAUUCUCGUAGAUUUUGGUUUGGCAGUUGACAUUUUAGCUGUCCACGUCGGAGUUUUUUUAAGAACAGUCCACGUCGGAGUUGGGAUGCCACGCCACCGUCAGUGCGACUAGUCAACUAUACUGACUGAAACAUUAGCUAUACUGGUCCGGCCCAGUUUUUGUUUUUGAACACGGGCCGGCCCAGCUGGUCCAGCUCUGGCGCGGCUGAAUCGGAGGGUCAAAACGACGAGGCCCAAGGCCGACAAGACCACGACCCAGCCGCCACGCAUAGUGUGUGUGUUAUGAAGCCCACGCCCACUUAGCAAAGUAAUUGGGCCCAUCGGCAGACGGUCUUCUUUCUUUCAAGAAACAGAACCAUGCCAAGGAAUUAGGCCGGCCUCUGCUGAGCAACACAAGGUUUCGAUUUUCCUGUGGCGUGAUGGUCGAGCGAACGACCGAACGUGGCUCCAGAGCUUCGGACGCGGACCUCAAGGCCUUUUGCGUAAAAGAUGGAGGCAGGUAGAGGUGCAACACCGUGACCUUUAAGGUAUCUUUUAAUUCUCUUUAGUUCAAAUAAAUGAACUAGUUUUUAAAAAAUUGUGUCAUUUUAAAAUUUUAAUCCAUUUAGUUGAACUAAGGAUGGUCAAAGGGUAUCCUGAUGGUCGCAUUUUGCAGCUCUAGAGGUAGGGAGUUUAUAUAAAAAAACAGCUCGACCUGUCAUCCCACGAGUUUGAUAAGUGAUUGUGUCAGAAUGCGAGGUCAUAGGGUAUAAAGAUUGUAUAUGGACGUAUAAUGCAACUUUGAGGACCCAUGAGAGCAGAUUGCAAUAAAGAGAACUAAAUCAGACCGCACCAUCAAAUUUAUGGGUCACGUAUGCAUUCCAUCGUUCUUCCAAUGAUAUGAUAGAAUGAGUGGAAUCAAGUAGUGACCGUGUGCCAUCUAUAAGUGUGCUUUGCGGCUUAUAGUCUGGUCCAUGCUUGCAUAGAGCCAAAAGUCGCUGACAUGAUCAAGUUCCAUGUAAUCUGAACUUUAAAAAUAUAUUUUUUCGAACGGCUGGUGGCCGAACUUUAUUAAAAAAUCAGAGGAGUACAAGGCGGGUGCUUUUCAGAACAAAAGCAGGCGCCCGUGCGUUUAGCAAAAUGGAACUAUUAAUCUGGUCCAAAAUCUGUUUUCACCUUUCAGUUUCUAAGAAACAUGGGUUAGCAAAAUCUUUUCCUAAAGAGAAGGACGAUAUCUAGGAAGAUUGCAGUGGAAACAUGGCUUAACAAUGGGCAAUCAAUGUGCCAACACCAACACAGGUUGCUGAGUGUUUGAACGGACAACGUACGUCCAGCUCCAGCCUCCAGGACGUGCACCCACUAAGAUGUCAGAAACGAAAAAUUCCACACUAAACUGGAAUACGGAGUACUUUAUUCUGCUAUACAGGAAUAUUAAACCUAACAAGGAAUGAUGAAUAGAGAAAUAGCAAGAUAAUAUAUAAUAUACAUUGUACAAUAAGCAAAAUUGUGACAAUUUGGGAAUAGAGAAAUCAAAACAUCGACGACUUUUCUCGGCAAGAAAAACAUCGACGACUGGAAGCUGCAUGAUGACUUCGUCAGGCUAUUUCAGACUUGGCUCGAGUUGACAUUAAUUUGUUCCUCUUCCCACUUCGUUGGUACUUCCUUCGAUCCAUAUUAAUUGUCAAAAUCUUACAUGUAUCCAGACGAUUUUUAAGCAUAGAUACAUCCAUAUUUGGACAAAUUUAAAACAAUUAAUAUGAAUCGGAGGUAGUAGGAUAAUAUUGGUAUUCCGAGCCACGCGGGAGCUGUGGCUGAUUAAGUAGCAUUAGAGGGUUCAAACCUUGAAAGAAAGACUGCUAUAAAAAAUCCUCACGGCUGAUGUCUUGCCGGCGAGGGGCUAGCACAUGUGUGUUACCAGCAAAAAAAAGUGGGCAUGUGUAAUGAUUAGUGGCUAUCCUUUGAUGAUCACGUGUAACUUGGUCAAAAUUCGUUAUCGAGUUUACACUCGCCUGGGUGGAUAAUUGGUUUGUGAGAGGAUCUUACGGGCUUACGGCAUAUCCCGGAAACAAUCGACCCAGCACAUGCUAUAUGUCCUCGGGAGUGUUUGAAAGGAGGGACCGUAAUAGUUGCCAAAUCUUCGACGCGGCAAAGAUGAAUUGUGAUGAAAUAUAUUUCAAGGUUGUUUAUUGUUAUUUGUUUCGUAUCAUAGGUUGAUAGUUUUUUCUUAUAAAUUUGGUCAAACUUUUAAAAGUUUGACUUAAGACAAAAAUCAUAUGCUUUAUAAUAUGGAAAGAAGGGAAUAGCAUGCAUGACAAUUUUGUCGAGUGCGUCUUUUUUUGGACCGAUACUGUUCUGCAUAUCUUUUCUGAUAAAUAUAUACAACUAUAUAAUUGUAUGAUUAUUAUUUCAUCGCCCUUGUAUCUCAGUAAGAGUAAAAUUGUUCACAGAGUUCUGAAUAUCAACUCCGAUUUGCUCCAUUUCAGCGCUCCGCCGCGCAAAGUAUGCAGGGCGAUUAGGCACCGGCAAUGUUGUGCUUCCGUUCUCCAAGACAAACACUACGGCUGACAUGGCCGGCCUAUCAUCUGGAUUUUCCUGGACACAUAAGAGAGCUACGUGGAUGCAAAGCAACACUUCAUCCGAUGAAGAAGUGUCCAUGAUAGAUGAGUCCAGCAAUUCCUUCGUCUUUCCUUCCUUCCACAUACUCCAAGACUGCAAAAAAAAACAUUGCAUAUUUUUUCGUUUUGGUUGUUAAACAUUUUUCAACAACUAUGUUUGUAUUUAUACAACUUUAGAGUUCUUUCCAUAUAUACUCACAUAGAUUAUGAGGUUAGGGUAGUCCAUGGUAGCGGAGCUUCUCCGUUUGCCGGUUACAACCUCCAAUAGUAACACACCGAAGCUAUAGAUGUCGGACUUGGUAGAGAAUAUGCCUUCCAUUGCAUACUCAGGAGUCAUGUAGCCAUUGUUUGAUCAUUUCAUUUGCAAGAGUUAUAUGUUGAACGAGAUUAAUUUGGAUUUAUUUACAAGUUACAAUGAAAAUUCUACUCACUAUGUUCCAACAACGCGUUGAGUAUUUGCAUUUUGCUGGUUGUCACCGAAGAUUCUCGCCAUACCAAAAUCCGCUAUCUUGGGUUUCAUAUCUGCAUCUAACAAAACAUUUCCAGCUUUUAGAUCUCUGUGAAUUAUGGUCAAUCUUGAAUCUUGGUGGAGGUAAAGAAGUCCCCUUGCAACCCCUUUGAUUAUAUUAAACCGCGUCGCCCAAUCCAACAACAAUUUUCUUGAAUCAUCUGUGGCCAGAAACAAAUGUAAGAAAAUGUGUUUUAGAUUCGUCUUAGGAAAUCAUGACGUGUGUUGCAAGAGUAUGUACCAAAAAUGGUAGCAUCUAAGCUCUUGUUAGGCAGAUACUCGUAAAUCAACAACUUUUCAUCUCCCUCCCCACAACAUCCAAGAAGCCGAACCAAGUUUCUGUGUUGCAAUUUGGCAAUUAGAAUUACUUCAUUCUUGAAUUCCUUUAUCCCUUGCUGUGAAUCCUUGCUUAGCCUCUUGACAGCAACUUCUUGGCCACCUAACAUUCCCUACGGAGUUGUGUGGAAAUUUAUAUCCGGAUUUGUCUUGUGAGCAACUCAAUUUUACCGAUUUAAGAACAGAGGAUAGGAAACUACUAUCGAACUACUUACCUUGUAUACUUUUCCAAAGCCUCCUUGUCCAAUUACACACGUUUCAGAGAAGUUGUGCGUUGCUAUGGCAAUUUCCUCAAAUCUUACAAAUGGGAAUUCAUGAUCGCGUGGAGGGUUUCCUUUCCCAAGUUCAUAAGAGAUACUCAUACUAUCCAAUGUCUAUCAUCUUCUGCUUUCUCUUUUUCCUGUUCUUCCCUGCUCCCACAAUUUCAUAAACAUUUCAAUUCAGGAAAUAUACCUUGCAAUUUAAUCCACAAGAGAUGGUCAAAUGGACUUUAUCAUCAGGAAAUAACCCUAUACGUACUAAGGUACCUUGCAAUUUUAGCCAUGCCAGGAAAAUGCACAUGAGGAUCACAAUAGUACCGCCCAAAACUGGCAGAGAAAUCUUAACCGUGGUGCUGUGUUUACCUGUGCAAAACGUACACACACAUAGCACAUCGCACGAAAUAAAUGGAAAUACAUCUGUGAAAACAAGAAAUUCAGAUCAAGAAUUGGUACCAUCCGUUGCGUCCAGGCCUGCAAUGCGGAGAUAGAGCGUGUAGCUGCCGAGCGCCUCGGCGCCGACCUUCCCGUCGUCAAUCAGCCCGCCGGCCCACACGAGGCACCUCGUCAAGUUUCGCCGCGGCGACUUCCCGGCGUCGCUGCUGCCCAGGUUGGCGUACGCGUACGCCACGCACGAGCAGUUGCGGCCGCACUCCGCCGCGCACUCCUCCAGCGUGCCGCCCCGGUCCCCGCCGACCACCGCGAACCCGUCGGGUGACUUCAUCCCCGGCAACGCCAAGAAGCCGCCGUCGUUGCCGCACCCAAGCAGCGGUUCCUUCCGCCGGCACCCCUCCGAGAACUUCCCCUGGCCCCACUCCCCUGCGCUCGCCGGCUCGAAGCCUUCGAGGCACGCGCACGUCGGGGACGAUGGCGCCGCCGCCGUCUCGUCGCAGUACCCGUACGGGCCGCAGUGGCCGUAGCGGCUGCAUUCCGUGGACGGCCAGUGCGCGAGGACGGCCCACGAUGACGAGGCGGCGCUCCAGCUCUGGAGCUGGUAAGUGCCGGAGUGCGUCACCACGUACCUGGUGCGCCCGGCGCCGUCGGAGAGCGUGUAGGUGAGGUAGAUCUCGUCGUCUCCGUCGACGAUUGCCAGGUAGACGACGAUGGCCGCGGCGCUGCUGGCGUUGUCCUUGGCCGCGCCCGCCGGUGGCGGCUGGUACCGGCGCUCGCUCUUCACCAGGUACCCGUUCCACGGCGCGCUGCGGGCGACCGGGCGCGCGCCAUCCCAGAGGAACACCUGGAGGGACGUGGCCGGGUCGCCGCCGUAGGAGAAGCGCCCCGGCGAAGGGUCGCCGGGCGCGUUCCAGGACACCAGGCGGUCGCCGGCGCGCGUCCUGUACCUCAUCCGGAUCUUCAUGCCCGGCAGGAACGUGUCCGUCGGGUGGUCGAAGCUCUGCCACAGCGUGGUGCCGUUUGCCGAGCGGAGGACCAGGUUGCCGCUGUUCAGGAGCACCGCCGUCGCCGCCGGAGCUGCGGCCACGUCGGUCUCAGGCGUCGUCGUCCAAAGGACGCGGCCGCCGUCGGAGAGGACGAGGCUGGAGGUGUCGGUGAGGGAGAGCGUGGGCGCGGAGGAGGAGUUAGUAGUGUUUGUGGCCGGGGUUUCUCGGUUGGCGACCCACACCACGGUGAGCUCGGGGAUGCCGUUGUACCAUAUGCCGACGUACAGCCUUGCCGGAGUAGUGGAGUUGGAGGGGCUGAAGAAACCCAGGGCGAAGGCGCCGUCGUCGGAGACGAUGGUAGCGCCAGGGGAGAGCGGCUUGCCGGGGACGAGGCGGUCGUCGGCCGCACGCAACGGCAGGAAGAUCACAAGGAUCAGGAUAGUGAUGGAGCACGCGAGAGCCCACCGGUCCAUUGGUCGAUCGGACAGGCCCAAAAAACUUCUGUUGUACUGUACGUACGAGCAUGUGGAAAGGAAUGUAAUCCGCUAGUCGUACACAGUGACUCGUACUACUAUUUCGUUGUUGAUGCUGACAUGCUGUUGUUUACAAGCCUUGAUCGGACCCGUUCCAGCAUUCGAUCGCGUGGAUUACGAAAGCAGAUGGCUGAAAAAUGCAUAGUUCUUGAAUCCUGCGGUAGGAGCUCAGAGUGUUUUGGAUUUGACAUCUCAGCUGUCCACGUCGGAGCAGAGCGCGAUACGGCGAUAGUCAUCGUGCUCGUGUGAACCCAGCUGGUCAAACCGCGGCACGGUUGAAUCCAAACAAACUUUACCCUAUUUUUCUAGGGAAACAAACCUUUUAGCUUUGUAAUUGAGGCCCACGGGCCACGGGAAUUAAUGGCCCAGCGAGAGCUCUACCCAGUCACCCACCCACGUCCGGCCUAGUCGCGGGGUGCGGCCUCGCUGGUCGGUCGUCGCUUCGUGUAAUAUACUCCGAUUAGGCAAAUUAGGCAAAUCCGAACUGAUCUCCAAUAAGAAAGCCAAUCCGAACGCAUCACGUAAUUCCGGCAGCAGCUAUAUUUAGUGACUCCUGUAUGCAGCUCGAUCGAUGCCUUGGAUCUCUUGAUGCUCCCCAGACCGAUUGAAUCGCCUGCCUCGAUCGAAGAUACAACACUUGGUUAAGUUUGAUACUACUACCAAAUUAACGAAUUUGAUUUAGAUCGGAGAGAGAAGAUGGGAUCGUCGUCAAGAACAGGGAAUAACCGAGUGGAGGAUCGUCCGGAGGAGGAGGAGGACGAGUUGUUCGUGGCCCGUGUCGGCUUGUCCGUGACCUUUGUCGUCAUCUUCAUCCUCUUUCUUCUCGUCGACACGGGCGUGAUCAAUCCCGGCGCCCCCAAGUUUCUCAAGAUCUUCUAUGGGGUGACGGGGCUCAUCUGCCUGCUCGGUGCUGCCAUCCUCGUAGUCGACUGCCUGCGUGAACGGGAACACUGGCCGGCGCCCUUUCGCCGUACGCGCAUUGCCGGGCCCGCCGAUCUGCCGGCCUGCGACGCGUGUUAGUCUGCUAGCUAUAUUGCCUGCCCUUUUUUUCACCAAGAAGCUGGAGUACCUUUUUUUUUAGGUGUUCACCAAGUAGCUACCUUGCCUGCCUUGGUUCGGCUCAUCGAUCUUACCGUUAUAAUAGGGUUUUUUUUCGUGCUUUGCCACAGCCUUUAAAAUACACCGGUUACCAAAUAAUGUAAUGUUUGUGUGUUGCAACGGACAAACAAAUUUGAUCUAUGUACUUGUUUCCUGAUGUUUUUUAUUUUAUUUGAUCUAUGUACUUGUUUAUUGGUUAAGAUACAUGCGAAGUACGAUAUGAUGUACUCGUCUCAUAAUGAUCUAUGUAUUGUUUAUUCAUGAUUUUGAUUUUUUUUAUCUACGUACUUGUUUCUUGGUUAAGGUACAUAUGAUGUACGAUAUGAUGUACUCGUCUCAUAAGAGGUAUGGUACCAAAUUAUCACAGAUGUUCAUGCUAUGAUUUUUUUUAAUAGCUGUGAUGUACCAUACGAUGUACUCGUCUCCUAAGUGCAUAUACUCGAGGUACUCAAAAUCUGAUAAAAUACAUGCCAUGCACCAUAAUGUAUUUAUCCAUGUACCAUAAUGUACUUAUAAGGUAUAGUUCAUAUACUUACAAAAGGAAAAAAGUCCGAGUGCCUAACAAAAAAAAAAGAGAGAAGAGCAAAAGUUGUUAGGUUUUUUAAUUUAAAGCAAAAGACAUUAACCAAGAGGAAGAUGGAGAAGGCCAAACAUGUAGCCAGCACCGUGGGCGCAAAUGCCACCAGUGGCACCAUUUCUGAAGGGGCGCGUAGAGAUAAACAAAAACUUUUUCUACACGAACUCCCAAGAUCUAGCCGAGGUAGAAGGCCACGAGGAUUACCACUAGACGCGCAGUUGCGGAUUAUCGAUGCAGCGCCUUGAUGCAGUGCAGUCCCUCGAUCCGAUCCAGCCGAUCCAAUCCCGCGAUCGUCGAAGUGCUGAACGUACAGCACCUCUGCCGGUAUCCACACAUGCGAGGAGGAGCUCCGGCGGCGGACUGCUAGGUCCGGUGCGAUGGUUGGACUGAAUGGGGCUAGGGUUCUCAACGCAUGAGAGUGGCGAACCGUGCCCCUUAGGCAUCCCACGCCCCUGCUUAUAUACCGAGUGGAAGUGGGCUUCAGCACUUGUGGCCCAUCCACUCUGCGAGUCGAACUCGCAUUGUCAGUCCAUUUCCGGUUUGGGUCCAACCCGACCAAAUACUUGCUUCCGCUCUUAAGUGUGUGACCCCGCAGGCUCAUGGCGACUUGGACACGAUUGGAGUCCGACUCUCAAUCGAUCAACCUGUAGCGGCUCCUAGCAGAACGUGCCGACUCCCAAGUACCAUCGAGUCAUGACGACGUACCUUCCAAUGUGACAUACGUCUUAGUCCCUUUUGCCUCACGAUAUACCUUGUCGAACUAUAGGCGAUUAAUCGUCAUCCCUUUAAUAGUUCAACUCUCUUCUCGAUCUGUGAUAUGCGAUUCAUCCGACUAACUCUUAGUCGAUCGACCCAGUUAACAGUUAACCGAGUCGCGCAUGGCCAUGCUUCCCGAAUCAUAUCACUCGAGAGGGCCCAGAGAAUAUCUCUCCAGUCGGAGGGGCAAAAUCCCAUCUUGGUUAUCCACAUCACAUAGCUUGAUUCUCAGUCAACUCGAACUCUGCCUUUAUAACUGCCCUGUUACGGAACAACGUUUAACAGAACCUAAGUUGGUGAUCCACAACUCGGAUUGUGCGAUAACCUCAGGUCUAAGGAUUACAUUGAUUGAGACAUGCAAAUGACGACCUACUCGUUGCAUCUCAAUAUGGGUCAGUCCGACUCGCUAAACUCUUUAGCCGAGUCCGUGUAAGCUGGAAUGACAUCACCAUGCCCAUGACAAGUGGAACCGAGUCAUCAGCCAACUUUCACAUUAGUUUAGGUUAUGUGUUCAGCACAACCUAAAUGACUAAGGACAAUUUAGUAUGAACAACAUGAAUACAUAGUUCCACAAUCAAAUCACAUAUUCAAUGAUACAUAUCAGAUGUUCAAACAAGGACAACUUAAUAAUCUUUAUGAAUACAUUGGGAAUUACAUCAUACAUGAUUGCCUCUAGGGCAUAUUCCCAACAAUUUCCGCUUUACUUUGAUCGUCAGCGCUCUGGGCUGACGUCACGGCCUUGACGUGCGCGGUGUUUCAUGCACGUCGAUGCGUGUUAGGGUGGUCGCUGCACUGGUUCUUCGGAGGGUUCCAAAGUCCAUGAGUUGGCGUAUGGGAGGCGGUAACCAUCUUUCUGGUGGCUUCUCAUGGCGCCUAUAUAUGUAGAGCUGUUGUCGGCAUUGCUCUGGGCACUUGCGUAUUGCGCUAUGGGUUCUGAACUUCUGAUGGGUUGCUUGGCGCUGCAGAUGUGGAUCCGGCACGAUCGGCAGCAUUGGAGCGUCGGUGUCCUCCCUCUGCCCUAACCACGACGUCCUCCCUCUGCCCUAACCACGGCGCCCCCCCCCCCCUCUUCCCCAACCACGGUGUCCCCCGGUGGCCCCGUUGCUAGAGGUGAAGCUCCGCAGCUAAGGAGGUGCAGUCCGGCGACAUCCAGGCUGAGACUACAGGGAGGUGUGGGGCCAGUGAGGCCAGAACGAUCCACCGGCCGCCAUGUGCCUCCUCACGCCUUUUUUUUUUGAAAAAGAGGGACCCCCUCCUGUUUCCAUUAAAGAAACGAUAGUCUUCUACACAAAUAGACAAAAGUAAGAAAAAGAAGAAAAACAUUCAGCGCGAAGUUCAGAUCACCAGCAGGUCUAGAAAUGAUACUAGCAACAGCAGAGAAAGAGAAAACAUACUACAAUUCAUAGAGCUCCUAGUCAGUAGAUUCAGAUAAAUGUUCUUGCUGCAGCAAUAGUUCCUUCACUUCAUGUAACCUGAACUUCUCCUCCUCCACUACCUCCCUAGCGAAGGCAGAGACCAGACAAAGCAGAAAAGCAGAGACGGCGAAACUUCAGCCCGCCAUGAUGCGACGACAAAGAGGAUGCCAUCCUUUCGCUGUUUCAAAAAUUUCCUUGGCGACAACUUCAACCAGUCUUACCCCCCACCGCAGAAGAUUUCUGCUUGCUUCCUUUCUCUGCAGAACAGACCAAAGAUUGAGCCAAUAACAGAAUCUCUUAAUGAUACCAAAAGGAGAAUAUCUUAAUGAUAUUUGGUCAAAAAAAUAAUAUCUUAAUGAUACCAAAAGGAGAAGUCAAACCAGCAGAUCUACAACAGGCAUCAUUUCUAGUGUUCCAGAGUACCCACAGUAAUCCUGCAACCCCUACCAUAACCAAUUUCCUAACAUUGCCAGAAAAAGCCUGCAUCCAUCCAGUCCAAAUUUGAUCAACAGUAUCCGGCUAAGAAUUUAAAUUGAAAGAACAAUUUAGAAUAUUUCAUAAGAAUCAAGCUAAAGUACACUGGAGGAAAAGAUGAUCAAUUGAUUCAUCCAUCCCACAGAACUGACAUUUGGAAUCCCUUUUCCACCCUCUAUGCUGCAAAACAUCUUUAGUCAAAUCAAAUAUCUCAGCCUCCUCACGUCUGGCGCUGCUCAUUUUUUAGAUUCUGUUCCAUCUUGAUUGAUUCCUUAGUUCACAAAUCAAAGAUCUCAGCCUCUCUUGAUUGCAAUUGGUACGGCGACGGAGAUUUUUCCUCUUUUUUUAGAGCUCUUUUACGGUACCCCACAUUUAAUAUGAUCCAUCCAUUAGUCACGAUCUAAUGGCUAAUAUUGUCCGGUACUCCACUACAAGUUGUCUGGAGUACUACCUCAAGAAUAGACGGAGUACCACGAUAUGAGGGGCAAAAUCGUAAUCAUAAGAAGUUUUUUUUCUCUCGCGGAGUUAUUUUGAUAAUCCAACACUAAAUAUUGUGCCAAAACUCAGGCGUGAAUGUUUUGAUUUACGCCAUCUAAAAAAGUCAUGAACCGGAGAUGAACCCUAAUCCUGAGGAGGUGUGGCGCCAGGCUUUGAUCCAUCACCGGCCGGCGCAAGUAUGCAAGGGACGAGGACGCUCCCCCCGCCGGCGCAAGUAUGCUCGUCGAGCCGCCGCCUUCUCCGUUUCUGAAGACACGAGCAUCGCCGUCAGGGCGCGGACCAGAGCUAGGUUUGGUCAAAAGGUAAACUGGGCCAAACAGUAGAGAUCAGGACGGCGGCGGAGAGCGGGAGACACGACAGAGUGCGGCCUGCACACAGUGCCGAAGGCCAAGGGUCAGCACUGACGCUUGCUCCCACGGCCAACGGCUUGGGCACGCAGGAGACUUGACGAUCCACGAGACCUUGGGCUUGGUUGAUUGAAAGGAGUACGUGAAAGUCCAAGAUGACCUGCGGGUUGCGGAAAUGCCCAGACUGCCCUUGCAGAUGAACGGACAGAUUUGUAUGGUACUCCAUCUUGUGUUUUGGGAGUACCAAUACUGUAAAAACUCUUUUUUUUUAAUUCUUUUCUUACUGCCCUAAACCCAUGGCAAUGUUUCUACUUUCCAGUGUCUUAGUUUGUUGUGGCAGGUAAUACAAUCGUUCCACGUAUAGGCUCCUCAGUUAGCGGCUUAAGCCUCGGUAGACUCCGGCCGCCACAUGCCUACGCUGACGGCUGCAGCUUCUUGCGUUUUGGCGAUGCUAUAAUCCCUUCUGGUGCGGUAAACUCUUUUCUAGCGGUGCCGGUUUCUACCGGCGUGGGAUGGACCAAUCGUUCACUGCCAGCAUGCACCACGUAUCCGGACGCUAUGUAUAUCCUUCAGUAUUCAUUUGUUCCCUCAUUUAUUCAACGUGGUAAUCUCAGUCUGGGUCCCACCAUGUGCUAAAAGAAAAGGGAGCACCAAAGAAGAGCGACGCGGGGCUCUGGACCUCUGUUCGAGGCGUGACGAGCGGGGCCCAAGCAAGGUGCGGGGCCAGGCGGGCAGCGAGCCAGCGACGGGCGCUGGCGCUAGUGUGUGUGAGCAAAUUUGAGGAGGUCUGUACAAAUUUGAUGAAACUUUUCUAAUCCUGUACUAACACAUUUUGAGGUUUGUACAAAUUAUGUAAGGGUUCAAACCAACUCAGAUUUUGAUGAAACUUUGGGGGUUGGCUUAAGAUGGGAACAUCCACCUUCAGUAAACGUUUCAAAAAUUUUGUAGCAAAUUUGAAACUCUGAGAUUUAAAUAUGGUUUAAGUUAAAAGGGCUAGUAAACUAAUUUUGAUUGACGCGAAAUUUUGCAUGUGCUCAUCUUGCAUAUAUGUGAGUUUGUACAAAAAGUUACAUGUCAAAAAGACGAAGUAGAAAAGUGGGUUAUUUCACAUAGGUUUGAAAAGGGGUUUAGUCCGCGCGAGUUCUAAAUUGAUGCAACAAUAAUUAAUACAUGAGAUGAUUACAUGAUGCAUGCUUAAUCUUAAAAUGAUCCUAUAUUAAUCAUCACACUGUAGUUCUCCACCAGCUCGGUCACCUACCGAUGGCGCGCAUGCCGCGCUAGCCACGCACCGCCUUGUGUUGCCCAACAUACCAUUUGUAUAUCAAUUUUUGGGUCAUUACACUAUAGUUCUCAAAUUUGUCGAAAUAUACCAUUUGUAUAUCAUAUACCACAUACCAAUGAAAUAUAUCAUUCAAAUACCACAUACCAAAUAAAUAUACCAUGUACCAAUAAAAUAUACUAGUGAGAUACCGUUGCAAUAUCAUAUACCAUACGAAUGUAGUGUACCAUUUGUAUAUCAUAUAACACCGUAAUAUCAUAUACCACAUUACCAAUGAAAUAUACCAUUCAUAUACCACAAAGCAGAGAAAUAUACUAUUCAUACACCAUGUACCAAUAAAAUAUACCAAUGAGAUACCGUUGUAAUAUCAUAUACCAUACGAAUGUAGCAUACCAUUUGUAUAUCAUAUAACACCGUAAUAUCAAAUACCACAUACCAAUGAAAUAUACCAUUCAUAUACCACAUAACAAAUAAAUAUACCAUUCAUAUACCAUGUAAAAAUAAGAUAUACCAGUGAGAUACCGUUGUAAUAUCAUAUACCAUACGAAUGUAGUAUAUCAUUUGUAUAUCAUAUAACACCGUAAUAUCAUAUACCACAUGCUAAUGAAAUAUACCAUUCAUAUACCAUAUAACAAAUAAAUAUACCAUUCAUAUACCAAGUACCAAUGAAAUAUACUAGCGAGAUACCACCUAAUUUCAUAUACCACAUACCAAUAAAAAUAAUAAUAAUCUAAAAUAUUGCAUCAUGUCAUCAUUACUUAUAUUGGUUGUGCAUCGAUUUAAAACUUUGCGGUCAUCAUUCUUAAACACCUUUUCAAACCUUUGUGAAAUAAAACAUCUUCAACCUUGUCCCGUCGACCUAAAACUUUUUGUACAAGCUCACAUAAAUAUAGUUCGAGCCUCUACAAAAUUUCAAGUUAAGCGGAAUUACUUUAAUACCCUUUUUGAAUUAAACGAUUUUCGAAGUCACAUAAAUCCCUGAAUUUCAAACUUGCUCCAAAAUAAUUGAGAAUUUUACUGGAGGUGGAUAACACCAUCCUAAACCAACCCUCAAAAUUUCAUUGGAUUCGGACUUCAUUUGAACUUUCAAAUUAUUUGCAGAAACCACCAAACGUCUAAGUUCAAAGUUGGAAACGAAAUCAAUCAGGUGACCCCACAUGUCAUACUCUCACGUGUAACUUAUUCUCUUUCUCAGUUCUCUUCUUCUCUUCACAGCACGGUAGAAGAUAUCCAGUGCUCCCACCCCUUAGGAUGCGAGCGUGCUCAGUUUUCGAAUUUUUUGAUAUAAAUUGAGUAGCUUUGUAAGAUAUGUGUCUAUCAUGUCACAAAGUUUCAAAUCCAAAUUCAUCAUAUGCAUAGAAAAACAAAAAGGACAAAUCCAGAUGCGAGUAGGUCGCAAAAAGAUAAAAACACAAAAAGACAAAAUUUCUAACACUAUUCAUGUUUGCAUUUGUCUUUUUUUUUUCUCUCUGUGUAUAAUGAAUUUGGAGUUGAAACUUUGUGACAUGGUAGACACAUAUCAUAUGAACCCAUUCAAUUUAUUUUGAAAAUUUUGAAAACUUUUUAGAGGUGCUGCCGUGCAUUGGGAGCACGGUAACACCCUAAGGGGUGGGAGCACUGGAUAUCUUCUUCACAGCACGGCACGCACAGGAACUCAAACCGCAUCGCCACUUCCUGACAUCGCUCGCCAUAGCCCUGCACUGUGUGCCAAGGCCUGCCCAUCUACUCGCAUCACGCACUCUAGCGGACGUGUCAGCCGCGGAUCCCGCCGGAUCUAGAGAACAACGCGGCGGCGGCGCACUCCAGCUGCUCGUGAUCUUGGGAAGAACGGCACAACGGCGCACUCCGGGAAAGAAAUUGGGGCAGCCAUGGAUCCGAGGAAGAAUUGCGUGGCAGCUCGGUCCAGUGGCUCGCGACCAUUGGGAAGAACGGCACGACAGCGCACUGCGGGAAAGAAAUUGGGGCGGAAAUGGAUCCGGGGAAGAACAGCAUGUCGGCGCGUCGAUGAAGCUCCCUGCGGCAGUGGCACAGGUGGCGACGAUGCUAGACACCUCCGGCGAUAGGAGGGAGGGAACAACGCGAUGGCAGAGGGAGACUGGGAGAGAGAUGACAGUACGAUGGAAACCAGCCAAAAUAUCUGCUCCGUGAAGGACAGUGACAAACUCAAGUGGGCUGGGUAGCAACAAGUACAAUACAUCUUGCGACCGAACCGAUGUAUAAAUUUCCAUAAUUGAAAUACCGACUCGGGCGUGCGUUGAUCUCAUAGCGCGAAUGGACGGUUCGUAGGAUACCGGCACCGCUACAAUCGCCGCUUUGCUUCUGGUGCAGCUAUUUAUGUUUAUGAUUCAACUUGUAUUCUAUCAACUAUGCCUUCUCGCGAGUUUGGCCAUGCAAUGACAAUGUUGUUAUUAUAUACUGUCUUGGUGAUUUAUCCUAUUUGCCUUUUUCUCCAGAUAGAUUCGCAGAUUAUUGAGAAUGCGACAAAGUUAUAAAAAAAUGGCUGAAGUUGGAAUCUCAGUUGAAGAGCAUGAAGGACAACUCCAAGAUUUUCCAUCAUCCAUCCCAUUUUUGCCUCCCCUGGCUAGUAUUAAGCAAGGACGUUACUUGGUAAUACUUUGCAUGCAACGGUAUGGUGUGUCGAAUUUGAAACUCAUAAGCAGUUGGUUACUAUAUUUCUAGUUUUCUAUAAAAGAAUGCAGCUAAUCUGAAGGUCUACUAUGCUACUCUUCUCAUUGCUGCGUAAUGGUCUUGUGGAUUUCUUGCACCAAUUAUCCUUUUUUUAAAAGGUCCAGCAAACGUUGGCUUUCCAAUGCAUUAGCAGGCAGAGAUAAUUACAGGGUUUGCCCUAGGCCAAAGAGAAAAAAGGAGCGGAAACAAAAGAAAGAAACGAAGGUGGCCAGGGGAGACUGAGGAGGAUUUCAGGGGGGUUCCAGAGAAGUUUCCUGAGAGCCUUUGCGCCGACGAAAGCCCGGUCUUGCGCUUGAAAGUAGCGAUCUGACACAUGCCGGUGGCCUUGUCAUGGAAAACUCUUGAAUUGCGCUCGCGCCAAAUCGAGUGGCACACCAGGAUGAACAAGGACCCAAGCCCUUUGCUUAGGUUUGCACUGUAUGAUUUCAUGAGGCGGUCGUGGAAGUCCUGGAUCGACGUGGCCCCAUGGAUGGCCGUAGCAAGGGCACGACAGUUAGGCCAGAGUGCAAUCUCGCACCAGAGCAUGCUGGAGAACGAGCACUCGACGAAGAGGGGGAAGGGCGUCUCCAGGUUCCGACGACGGAGAGGACAGAAGUAGCAGUUGGGCCAGCCGCGCCGUUGCAGACGAUCCGCACACAAAAGACGGUUCUGAAACAGAAGCCAAGCGAAACAUUUGUGCUUCGGCGGCGCCCAGACGUGCUAGACGGUCUAGGGAAGCGAUGAGAGCGUGACGCCGAUAAAGUGGAGCUUGUAGGCGGAGCUAGAAGAGUAAGAGCCGUCUGCGGUCAGGGUCCAACGAAUGGCAUCCGGAGUCUCAGGCUGGAGGGAGAUCGCGUGCAGAUCACGCCAGGCAGAGAUGAACUCGUGGAGGGCGUCGGUAGGCAGGUCGCGACGCAAGUCGCGGACCCAACGAUGAUCGGUGACAGCUUGGACGAUCGAGAGAUUCUUGCAUCGGGAGAGGGCAUGCAGUUGCGGGAAAGCCAGCUGGAGCGGCCGUCCACCAAACCAGGUGGAAUACCAGAAACUGGCGGUAGAGCCGUUGCCGAUGGUGACACGGGUAGCAUCUGCGAAAGGUCGCGGUCAACCUCGUCGCAGGGAGUAGGCGUGCCGACCCAAGGCCGAUCCGACGCUCGCCACUCGAGCCAGAGCUAUAGUAGACGAAUGGCCCUACCAAAAGCAUCCAAAUUCAUGACUCCCAUCCCGCCGUGCGCAAGAGGAGAGCAAACCCUAGACCAACUAACCUUGCACUUGCCCCAAGCGAGCUCAUUAUCAUCAACACCCCAAAGGAAACGUCGGCGGAUCUUAUUGAGGGUGCUAAUGAAAUUUCGGGGAAGCUUGAGCGCGUUCAUGGCAAACACCGGGAGGGCGCUAAGCACAGAGUUGGUGAGAGCAUACGGCACCCACUGGUGCUAAUCCAUCUUCCCCGCCAACAAGCCAGGCGAGCACGGGCAUGAUCCAGGAUGUGUUGAAGGUGAGCGCUCUUGAUCCGUUUGAGGGACAUGGGGAGGCCUAGGUAGCGAAUGGGGAAAUCGACAUGUAUCCCAUGGAAAUGCAGAAGGACAUCGUCGAGGUUGGUAUCGUCGCAUCGGAUUGCGGCCACCUCACACUUGCCAGGAUUAAUGCGCAGGCCCGUGGCGAGACCGAAUUCAUGCAGCAGAUGGAGAACGAAGAGCACGUCGGUGCGCACAGGGUUAAGGAAGAUGAUGGCGUCAUCUGCGUAGAGGCCGCCGCGCGGAGCUGCUUCUUCAGGGGUAGCGGGGAGAGACCGCUGAGCUCUGUGCCGCGUUGAAAGAGGCGCUACAGCGGGUCGAUGGCGAGGAUGAAGAGAAGCAGAGAGAGCUGGUCUCCCGGGCGCAGGCCGCGACGGUGAGGGAUCGAGGCGCCGAUGGUGCCAUUGAGAAGCACCGAGGAUGAGGCGGUGGAGAGGAGGAGCGCAAUCCAGUCACGCCAUCGAGCCGGGAAGCCGAGUCGUUGGAGGAGUUCUAGAAGAUAUUCCCAAGACACGGAGUCGAAAGGUUUGGCGAAAUCGAGCUUCAUAAGCAGGGCUGGCUUUUUCCCGCGGUGGAGAGUGCACGCCGCGUUUCGAACGAAAAGGAAGUUGUCGUGGAUGCAGUGGGUCGUGAGGAAGGCGCUCUAAGAGGGAGAGAUGAGCCCCUCCAUGAAGGGGGACAGGCAGUAGGCGGGUACUUUGGAGAAGAGCUUGGCGAACGAGUGAAUAAGGCUAAUAUGGCGCAGGUCGUGGACACUGUUAAUUUGGGCUAUCUUGGGCAGCGAGAAAAUGAAGGCUGAGCUGAGAGUAGAGAAAUUUCCACUAGCGAGACAAUGGAGGUGGUUGAAAGCAGCAAGGAGGUUGAGCUUGAUAAUCUGCCAACAGGAGCGGUAGAACACGCGUUGUGAAGCCGUCUAGCCCGGGCGCGUUUCAGCAGGCGAGUCCCGGAUGGCGACCCAAAUCUCGUCCAUCGAGAAAGGGAGGUCGAUGCCGACCGGGGGAAGGGUCGGCAGGUUGAGCUCGGACCACGCAAAAGAAUGGGAGCGCGGGGAAGUCGAACCAAGAACGGCAGUGAAAUGCUGGAGCAGGGCCUGAGCUUUGUCGUCAUGCGCCACGUGCACACCGGAAUCGUUGGCAAUCUGGUGAAGGAAAUUUCUUCGGUGCCUAAAGUUUACCUUGAUGUGGAAGAAUCUGGAGUUGGCGUCGCUUUCUUUGAGCCAGACCCGGCGACGGCGGGAGCGCUCGAUCGCGGCGAGCCCAGGGAUCCUAGCUUUGAGGGCGCGGCGGAGGUGAAAUUCUAGGGCCGAGAGGAUGCAGCCUUCCUGAGCGACGUCGAGCCAUAGCACGAGUUCCAGAGCAAGGUGAAGCUGGAAGCGGGAAUCACUAAAGAUUCCUUUGCUCCUUUGACGUGAAUACGACGAAGAGGAUUGGCGGAGUCCACCUCCUGGCUCCAGGCCUCAAUCGUAGCAUCGAAGAAGCCCGGGUGAUGCGGCCAAAAAUUCUCGAAACGAAAGCGUGCUUUCCUCGGCAGCAAGCUGAAGCCGGCAAGAAGAAGAGGACAGUGAUCCGAGCGCGAGAUGGAAAGGGCGUGAACGGCAUAGGAGGAGAAGAGCGCGUCCCAAGCGGAGUUACAGAAGAAUCGAUCAAGCUUGACGAGGGUGGGGUGCUGCUGCUCGUUAGUCCAGGAGAAGUUUCGGUUGACGCAUCUCAAUUCGAAAAGCUCAGCCUGAUCAAUGUCCGCGCGGAAUUAGCCCAUGAGGCGACGACUAAGGUUGAGGUUGCUCUUGUCUCUUGCUUCGUAGAUUAGGUUGAAAUCGGCGAAAAUCAACCAGCAGGGUUCCCCAGGGCGCGGAGAGAUGACGGCCAUCUCUUGGAGGAAGGCGGGCUUGCGGGCAUCUUCGGCUGGACCGUAGACGGUGGAUAGAAGAAACGCUAGGCCGGAAACAUUGAUGGUGACGACGACCGUAAUGGAGAAAGAGAGGAUCUGGGGGUUGGAGAUGGCGACCACGUCGGGGUUCCAAAAAAGGGCCACGCCGCCCCACGUGCCGUCGGCGGGCAGGCACACGAAGGGCUGGCGGGAGGGGCCUGCAAUCUCACAGGCUAGGGAAGCGUCGAUCGCGGACAACUUUGUUUCCUGAAUGCAAGGGAUGCCGGCUUUGGCGUUGGAGGCCAACUCACAGACGGCCGCGCGGCGAGCCGCGUUAUUGAGGCCGCGGACGUUCCAGCAAACAAUCGGACAGAUGGCGUCAAUUUGGGGCGGAGCAUUGACGAAACGCGACAGAAACUAAUACUAGCACGAGUACACCCGAAUAUUACUUGUAGGUCCCUCGGGAUCCUUGGGGGACUCAAUCCCUUGCGUUGUUUUUGCCAUCGGUCUGCCCCGGUGGAUUUGUACCUUUAGUAUUCUAUCCUGGCCUCUAUGUAUGCAACCCGUAUUUCUGUCGCAACGGUCAUCUGAUCCAUCACAUUUAUGCAAAACAACUUUUUUGGUCCAGCUAACUCACGCUGCCACCGAUUUUGGCCCAGCUUCACAGGUAAACCAGAGGUCAAAUUUUGAAGCAUUAUGCAUAAUCUCCAUUCAAUUUUUUGGCACACAUGCAUCAAUUUUAAGCCGAACCAGUUCAUCAACAAAAUAUUAAUUAAACAUAAUUAGGAACUUGAAUCUGAACCAAUUUUGGAUAGAACUUGGAUCUGCGCCAAAUUUUUGUCAAUCAACAAAUUCAACAACAAUCCCCAAAAAUAAAUGUGAACAACAGAAGCAAACUGCAAAAGCUAAACUCAAACAAAAUCAAGAAAAUUUGCCGCAUGGCCACAGACAGUUAGGAGUUAAACUCAUAGAAAUCGCAUCAACAAAUCUUCCCGCAUGCCCACGGAAAAAAACCGAAACCAAAAAAAGUCUUGCAACAAUCUUGAAGCAGCAAAUCUUCAUCAGGGAAUCACGCAUGUGUGAAAACUUGCACAAAUAAACGCAGGGAAGAAAUCUUGCACAAAAAAAGAUCUUGCACCAUGGCCACGCAUGUGUGAAAACGCAGGGACCUAGCCGAGAACUCCGUGUCCAUGGCCACGAAGGGGCCGUCCGAACCUGGUCAGUUCACCGCCGGGAGCCGCUGGCGAGGGAGGAUGAGCAGGGGGAGAGGAUAGUAAAGGGGAUUUUUUGGGGAAGGUGGGGCCCAGUAUUUCGGAAUGGUCCAGCUUGCCAUCAUAAAUGGCCCAGGUCUCAUCGCAAAUGGCCCAGGUACACAUAGGAAAUGGCCCAGUAUUUACACUAUUCAGUACCGCAUCCUGGACCAAAUUUCAGAUCAUGAUGGGCCAAACGGGUGGACUGGAUAGAGUCCACCAAGGGUCCUGAGACCUGAAAAUUCAUUCAAAACAUACAUGGGGUGGAGACGAUCGACAGCCAAUAGCCCCAAACAGAUCGUUCUCCAAUAGCAAGCCGUCGAACCCUAACAUAACUACCAAAGGACCGGCAUGGGGCCGGCCGCCACCUAAACAACUAAGAUAGCAUAACAUGGGGAAACUACAAAUUAGUUCGCCGGCGAGGCGACGCUGGUGGCGGAGGCCUGAGCUGCGGCACGGUGGAGAGCGUUGCGGUCGAUCCUGGUAAGAACGGCGAGGCCGUCCACAUCAACUUCAGAGAGAGGCUCCUUGAAUCGCUGGAUCAGCGCAGCAGCGGCAGUGUCGGGGCGCUGGCGGACAGUGGAGGAGGGCUUCCCCGCCUGACGAGCGCUGCGGCGCGGGGUGAUCGCGGGCAGCUCCUUGGGCGGCCGCGGAAGCGGCGGCGGCGAGGCUCCGAGCACGCAGGAGGGAGGCACGGCGAACAGGGAGCGGAUGACCUCAUCAGUAGUCGUGUGGUCGUCGGGCGCGGGGGAGUCUGGGACGAGCAUGUCAAUGACGUCGGUGGUGGUGGCGGCGCGCCCAUCACCGACCGGCGAAGGGAGCCUGAGGGCCCAGACCGUGAUUCCCCGGCACCGCCGCCACGUCGGAGCUCGCCGGGAAAGAGAGUGGCGAGGCCACCACCUUGGCGCAGUACGAGUCGAACUUCGAGACCAUCGGGUCCGCGCCGCGCAGAGGCCCUCGAACUGCUCGGACGCCAUCAGGGAUCCUCGCUGGAGACGGACGAGGCGCUGGUCGGUGAAGCGGGGGCAGCCUCGGGCGCCGGCGGCGAGGGCGGUGACACAACCACUGCAGGCGUCGGCGCAGCCACCGCGGGAGGAGAAACCACGAACAGGCGCUGGGUAGGGGGGCCAUGAGCUAGGAGGGGCGGCGGAGGCGGCAGGAAUUCCAGAGGCUCAACCAAUAUACUACUGCCCCCUGUUUUCUUUUCCUCCCGUCUUAUUCACGAUUUCUCCUUCUCCGUCUUACAACCGACGCCACCAUGCCCGCAUGUCGAUCUCGACGGCGUCAUGAGCUGCCUACACAGAAAAAAAAUAGUUUGUGAUUUGUUGACCCGUAGCAACGCGCGGACACACCUGCUAGUAUAUGAUAAAAGUUGUACCCAUCUAAUUAAUCUCGUUCCUCUCUAUACGUACUCUCUCUUCCCUCUCAGGUCCAGCAUGCAUGUGGAAUUGAGAACGGUGCCUCUGACUCUGGAGACUGGAGAACGUCCUCAAGACUCCAACAAGUUUUGAUUUUGAUUUUGAUUUAGUAAAAGAAUAAAAAAUAUAUGAAUUGAAUUAGUUAUGAGUUUUUCAAGUUUCAACAAUCUUUGGGGUCGUCAAUAGCUGGUUCGAUUGAGUGGCCAGUGCAUUCCGCGCCUGUCUCUUCUCUGCAGGUUUGAUUGAGUAGCCAGUGCAUUCCGCAUUUCCGCGCUAGUUGCCAUGCAAACAUCUUCACUUUAGGAGGACAAUGGCACUUCCAGAGUAACGCCCAGUCAGGUCUCUCACACGAGGCACCAUCCCCCUGCUCAAUCAUCAUAAGGGGACGGAGUGAGCACCUACAACUGGAAAAGUACCGUAUGCUGAAAUUAAUUAGAAUAAAACUACUUCCUCCGUCCAAAAUAUUCCAAAACAAGUGACCGUGGAUUUUAUAUAAAAAUCUAUAUAUUCAAAUCAAAAUUACUUAUUUUGGGAGGGAGGGAGUACAUGAUUCCAAGGUAGCAUGGGUUGAUGUUGAUCUAAAAAAAAAAUCCUAGGGUGGUUGUCAGAUUCUAGUGUACAUUGUUCAAAAAUCUUGUCUGGUUUUUGCUUUCGUAUGAUUCAGUACUACUUCCGUACUAUGCAAAUACGGAUUAUAAAUCAUGAUGAUUGAACAUAACUAAUUUAGAGUCAUAGAUUUUACUAAAAAAACUUAGAACAAAGCUAACACGAUGAGUUAAAAGACUCGAGCUAAUGCAAAAACUGUUAUAAGCUCCCGUAUGAUUCAGUACUACUUCCGUACUAUGCAAAUACGGAUUAUAAAUCAUGAUGAUUGAACAUAACUAAUUUAGAGUCAUAGAUUUUACUAAAAAAACUUAGAACAAAGCUAACACGAUGAGUUAAAAGACUCGAGCUAAUGCAAAAACUGUUAUAAGCUCCCGGCGAGGAUCGAACUCACGACCUUUCGCUUACGAAGCGAACGCAAUACCACUAUGCUACGGAAGCUAUCAGUAAUAUGUUUUAAAGAAAAUUAAUUUGUAUUUUAUUUGUCAAGACCUUUUUCCCGUUCCCGUUCUUGCACUUGCAGCCAAAGGAUCAGCGGUUGCGGCAUGACAAGAUUUUUUUUAAUUGUAUUUUUAAUUGCUAACCACAUUUGCCAUGUGGUUAGUGGCAUGACAAGAUAGUUGUGAGUUUGACUAUAUAGGAGUAUAUCGCUCUGACGAUGCGUCACGCCGGUGACACGCAGUAGUAGCAGUCUAGCAGAGCACCCGACUGAAACGUGCCCGACAGUAGAGCACCGGCCGACCAAAUCCAGAUGAGUUUUCAUGCAGUUAUUAAAAAGGUACCACAUGGGGCACAUGGCAGCUUCCAGAUCCAACAAAGUCCAAAAUCAGUUAAACAAAAGGCAAGCAUACACAUACACAGAUUAGAACUUGGCGAGCACAUCGCAGAUUCUCCCGAUAGCUGCAGCCAGAAUGAGUAUAGGGAGAAAGGGAACGGACAUGUUUCCAACUCUCCAUCUUGCUGAAACCUCGGGUACUUCGGAGUCUUUUCAGAAGAAUACAAGAUACAGCUGUGCAUCGCAGGUAAACGAAUUACAGGUUCUAAAAGGAUUAACAGAAGAACUGUAAUAGUCUACUCUAUGUUUGCCAAAUAGUAAAAAAGGACCGGAAUGCUGUAGCCUGCUGACAUCGGCAGCUAUUGAAGACAGACAAAGGAUAAUAACUGAUAAAUGGAAUGUUUUGUACAACAGAAUUUCAGACUAGUCUCGCUAGAAACAAAUCAGAAACUUCCCCGACAGAAUGCCAGGGCAAAUCCACAAGCGCAAUCAAAAGAACAGAUACGGGCGCGGGGUAAACACAAACAAGCAAAUCUUUUGAGUAAUUACUAUUUUUGCUUCAGAAAUGAACAGUUUAACACCAUCUAUUGAGAUCUGAGACUUCAAACAAACAGCCACGGGUACUUUUGUAGGUACAGACAUAACAGAGUGAAAUAACAAUGGAUGACCAAGCGCCCAACCCUAUAAACUUGACUAGAACUUCCCCACUCCGAUCCAGGAAGGCGACAGUGACAUGAGCCAGACUAAAGCUACGAUUCAUUGUCCAUCCUAACAGCAACCUGAAAGAAAGGGAGGGACUAUGCUAAACUAAAGGCAACCAUCCAUCAGAGACACUAGCCAGGAACAGCAACAGCAAAGCUCCAGAGGUUUCCAUCCAGUACUGUGGCAGCUUGGUGAAAUCCGAUCCGCAUCACUCGUCAGCCUGCAUACAGGAUGUUUCAGACAUUCUCGUCAGUGAGGUGAGGUUGACUGAAAUUGUCGGAAAGGGAUUAUGGGGUGGGUGUCUCUAUCUCACCUCGCUCCCGUCAGCCUCGUCGUUAACCUCGGACUUGGACUUGUCCGAGUCACCAGACGCUUCCUGGCCUCCUGCCUGCAAGGGUAAAAGCACAAACCGCACAUAUGAGAACAAUGUGAUCAUCUCGAUUCUGACGACGGUGUUCGAUGAGGAGCUGAGAGCGCGCAUCGGUACCUGAGGGUUGUUGUAGGCGACCAUCUUCUUGUUGUACUCAGCCUUGAGCUUCUCGGCCUUGGCAACAAAAGGAGCUUUCUCCUGCGUUACAAACGAGAUAUGUUAGUCGGGCGAAGCUAGCACAAGGCAAUGGAAACACUGAACUGAACAGCUGUGAAAAGACGAGCAAAAGGGAAACGAAUUGUGCGGAACGGUAUCGAAAAUUUGAACGGGCGAACAAGAUGUUGCAAGUACUAAAAGUUUAUCACCAAUUAGAAUCGAAAAGGAGAUGGGUAAAUUUUAAACGAAAUGACACAUUUUAACAAAUUCACCAUAAAUUUGAACCACACGACCAGAACUACACAUCCAGUGGAUCCCCAAUUUGAACCUAACCCUCCUGGAACAAGUAAACCCGAGAUAUGAACGACAAAAAACGUAAACUGAACAAAAUUACAAAAUUACAAGUGACAUCAAAUCAGCAGACAAUGGAAUCAGAUCGAAAUCGCAUGACAUCAAAUGAGAAAACAAUGAAACCAGACCGAAAGAGCCAGCGGACCCUGCAGUUUGAGGAAACAACUUACAGCAUCGGACAGGGACUUCCACUCCGCACCACCGGCUUUACCAACCUGCGUCCCACCAAAACCAGCCGGUAUCAGAACGUAGAAUUUAAAUCGUCACAACGGUUCGAACGAGGGGAUGAACUCAGGCGGAGAAAACGAUCCUUACCACGGAGACUUGCUUGACGUCAGGGUGCUUCUCCUUGUAGUCCUUCCUGAACCCCUCCCUGCGGAAACGAAUGCAUAGCAAAAAUGUCGAUCAGAACGCGACACCACAGAGUGACAAACAACACGAAAACCAGAACGGAUCUGAGCUUACAUGAAGACGAAGAACGCGCUCGGGGGCCUCUUUGGCUGGUUCGGGUCCUUCUCGGCCUUUGUCUUCCUCACCGAGAGCCUAUGCCACCAACAAGUGCAAGACACCAAGAGCAAAUCGAAUCAAAACCGACGCGAAAUAGAGGCGAAACACUCGAACAGAACCACGGAAAUCGAACAGGUAGAGGGGAGAUCUGAUCAAUCAGACACUAACCUGGAGUCGCCGCCGCUGGACCUCACCCUCGCCUUCAUCUCGCAGCCUGCAACACCAAACCAACCCAGAUCUAAACCAUCAGAAACAGCACAACCGAAAUCACAACAGCAUGAAAUCGGAUGUUCUAAGAAACAGAUAUAGAUUGAUCUCGAACUCACGGUACCUUCGGAUCGGAGCGCGUUAGUGCUAGGUUGGGGAGAUGGGUGCUGCGUGCUUUCGACUACGAUGCGAUUUGGAGGGCUGGAGGACAGGAGGAGGGAGGCGAUUGGGGGCGGGCUUUAAAGGCGGGUGAGAGGCGGGAGUUUGCGCGGGGUUCCCCGAAAAAUUUCGCCACGUCAACGAUCCGCGCGCUCUUCUCUCAUUGGCCGUGCGGGCGAACUGCAGUCGGCUAGAGCUUCCGCUACACUGUUUGCGCUUACCCGCGGGGCUCCUGUCCAGCUGUCAGUCUUAUGGCCCACCUGUCAUUGGAGUUUGUAGGUUCUUUACGGAGUAUUUACGGUGUGUUUUCUCUGCCUGUGCUUCUCGGAUGGGGGGCAGUCUGGGCAGUUUCGAAGAGUUUACGGACGUGGUAGAAGUUUCCUGGCGCACGACUCAUUGAACCCGCAUUUAUUUAUUUCUCGACAGAACAAGGCCGUAUCUUUUGGUAUUCCUCGAUCGAGUGAUCGAGUCGGAUAUUGUACUAGGGAGUAUAUCGGAGUUAUUUUUAGAGGCUUACUCAUCCCGUUACUUAAAGAACGGCAUAUUAGUUUUCAUUAAGACAAGUCUUUGAACACAAAUUAUUAUGUUAAAGUGUUGUUUAUAUGACAUGAAGUACUUUCGAUAACGAAUUUAGCGAUACUAAUUUCAUGUCAUAUAAACCACACCUUGCCAUAGUAAUUUGUGAUCAAAUCCUUGUCUUAAUGAAAGCUAAUAUGCCAAUUUUUAAGGAACGGAGUGAGUACAAUGAAAAUACUCGUCACGUUGUCCGUAAAAUGUCCCAUGUAUCCUGCACAAACAUUGUUUUUGAUCUAUUUUACUCGUGCGAGAACAUAUGCUAUAUGAUCGACUCUCGUUCUUCUGCAAGGUGGUGUUUAGUACUACCUCCGUUCCAUAAUAUGAGACACGCAUGCAUCGCUAAAUUCUCAAUUUGAUUAAUUAAAUAUGUAUGUUUUUAACAAAAAUUACAUCAUUAGACUCGUUAUCGAAAAAAUUUCUAAUAAUAUAAUUUUUUAGUUUUUUAAUUAAUAUUUAGUUAGCUAAAUUGACGAUGUAGGAAAAUGCGAGCGUGCCUCCUUCCGUCCCAAAUUGACUGACGUAUUUUUAUACAAAUCCACGUCAGUUAAUUCGGGACGGAGUGAGUACAUUAGAAUGCCGGAACUUAGAGGAUGCUCUACGAUGCCAUUAAUUGUCUCUAUUUAAACACUGACGUAUAAAGUAAGUAGUAUCUUAUACUGUAAGUUAGUGUUUGGUGCAGAGCAAAUAGUCCAUACAUUUUCCUAAGGAAGUAUUGUAUUCUCUUUUGAGGAAUCAAAUAGAUUCAUGUAUUAUAGGAACUAAACAUGAGAAUGCAUGAUGCUCAAAUGUGGAACUAUUUUAUUACAUUUCACCAUUUUUUUAGCAGCCAAAAAGUACUACCUAAACAUCAAACGUGGUGCACCCGAUACAAACGAUAACAGUCUUGGUCCCUAUGAUGUGUUGUUGUGAUCUCUCGACCAUGACUUGGAUAUAGGUCUAUCGUGACAGUCCUCGUUGGCCUACAUUUCCUACUCCGUCAUCGAUGAUGCAUGUUUGUAUCGGGUGGAUUACACACAAUAUUAGAUUUCCCUUUAAGCAAUUCAUUACAAGCAAUUCUAGAAACUCAAGUCUUCAUGUGGUUGAUUCAUAAGAGAAGUUCUGACAAGCCACAAAUAAAUAUGUGGAAAUUUAUGAUUUUCGGUUGAAAACUCACCAAUAUAGCGAGAACCUUCCAUUUUUCUGGUUCAAGGCAUCAUAAACAUGGUGGCUGAGAUACUAUCAAAAAGGUCGAAACGUACUUGCUUUUCUAUUUCCAUACACAAGCUCUUCUUUCACGGUUAAGGCUUCAUUGACAUUGGUACUAGCCUAAGAUGAUGAUCAUGUCGUUUUUGGGUUUUAUAGCGUGGCAAUUGCAUGUGGAUGUAGUCAUAAUGGUUUCGUGUACCGGUGAUUCCACUUUAAUCGGCGUAAUGCUUACAGCUAUGAUGCGGUACAAUACGGCGCCCACUCAUUUAUAUAUUUUAAGCAACGGCCUCCUGACUUGCUUCCACAUACCCCGGAAUUCGGUCGAAACCGCUUCCUUUUUCCUUAUCUGCAUGCAUAACAAGACAGGGCAAUCAAUGUUCUCCAAACACUAUAUUCAUUCAAAAAAUUGGAACGAUUUAUCUCUUCAAUGGUGGAUUUGGUCCUCUAUUUGUCUUCACCGUUAACGAUGUGUCGAACUAUUAAGCACCCAAUUGUAUCUCUAUAUGAGGAUUCAUUGAAUCUCCUAGGGGGGCAACCAUGUCUAGGAGGUUUUUUAUACGGAGUAUAAGAACAUUACUCUACCCAUGGUGGAAUCGACGCUAUCUUUGUGCGUCCUCCUUAUGCGAGGCAGUAUAUCUCAAUUUGCUCAGAGAAGGAAGCUCCAACGCUCUCUGCAACUAUUCCGGAGUUGGUGCUGGCGCGCUCGAGCCAUCUUGCAGAGCGAGCUAAUGUCCUGGUCCCGGUGGCAGCUAUCGGGAUGCAACAGAGCUGUGCGGCCGAAGCAAGAAGGACGAUGGCCUUAAGGAUUUGGUUUGUAAUUUUAUACUCUAUCCUUAUUAUGAGGUGUUGAUGCAAGGUGCUCUCUCUCUGUAUUGUAUUCUUUCCUAUGCUAUGAUGAAUGAACAGUUUUUAUAAUUCGGGUGCAAAAUAGACACAUAAUUACUGAGAGCGGGUUUUUUGCUCCGGGUGGCAAUCACACCCGAAAUCUGAGCCGCCCACCUUGUUUUUGGGAUCUGUGCCCCUGAUUUUCGGUUUUCAAAAUACAUUUGCAAUACAUGGCAGUGGUGUACGUGGGGACCACGCACGUGGAUUCCAACCCCCCUUUCUUCUUUCUUCUGUCUGCCCUCUCCACAGCAAUGUCGCCUCCCUCUCCCCCCCCUUCUCUCUCUCACCCAACAGCCCAUGGCGGUCGGAACAGGGACCUCGACCGAUGCGGGACGGCGGCGUAGCCGGAGAUGGAGGCGGCCAUGGGCGUGUCCAGUUCAACAUCAAACGCGCCCUGGCUGGGUAUUCUCUCCCCCCCCCCCCCGGCCCCCGGCCAUCAUGUUCGAGCAAGAACUCAAGGGCGGCGGGACGAGGCAAUAAAUGAAGCUGCAAAUCGUCGGAGGAGGGGGAGGGCCGCCGGAGUUCAGAGCUCGGCCACGGUGUGGCCAUGAUCCGUUGCCGCAGUUCGGAGCUCGUCCACGGUGUGGCCACGGUCAGCAGGACGCGGACGCGUGGUGCUGCCGGCCCCUGCACGGGCACGAAAAAGCCGCCGGGGUACUGCCACCCCCACGCCCGAGCACAACUGCACCACGCCGCCACCGCCAGCCAGCACCCCCCCCCCUCUCUCUUAUGGCGGAGCUCGUCCAUGGCGCCGCCGACAUCUUCACCGAGUUCAUCUUCACGGGGUCCGGCUCCAACAACCUCCAACUGCAGCGUCUUCCCCAACUCCGGCAUCCAGCCGCUAGAAUCUCGAGAACGGUGGCUCGUUCUGGAGCCGGCCGAACCCCGACAACAUCCAUGGCGCAGGAGGAGCAGGCGGACGGGUUCUUCUAGUCGAAAUGGACAAGGUCGGAGUGGACAAGGGCAGAGCUGGCAGCGAACGAGAGCAGCAAUUGGCGGUCGCCACUGUCGGACGGGAGCAGGGGAGAGAAAAGUGAGAGAGAAAGGCGGAGGAGGAAGAUAGCGUGGGGGGAUGUGGGGGCAGAGAAACGCACAUGGUGGGCCCAGCACUGUUGAAGAAUACCAAAUUAAAAUGGGCAUACGGAUCCAAAUACAUGUAGGAGGAAGAUAGCGUUUACGAAUCUCAAUGUGCUUUGUAAGGUGCAGAUUCAGGGUGCGAUCGCACCCAGGUGCAAGAGGACAUUUCCCCAUAAUUACUGGCAUAUCGAAUAAUCAGCACAGCAGGUAGCACAAGUUCUUGUCAGGUAAUGUGAAUCACAUCUGAAAAAGUCAAACUGAAGCACAAGUUUAGGUAGAGCUUACCAUCUCAAGCAGAAAUUGAUAUUCAUGAGGCAAUUCAUUACUGUGGUUACAUCUGCCACUAACAAUUUCCAAGAGCAAAAUAGCGAAACUAUAAAUAUUUGACUUCUUUGUCACUUGUCCUCUGACUGCAUAUUCAGGGAGGAGCCUGGUAUCCUCUGAUAGAAGAAACGAAGGCAUUGAGAGAUGGGAAUGAACUAUGUUCCAUGUCCCAAACAAACUCAUAUACAAGGCUAUAUACUUAGAUUGUUCCUGCAACACGGGUGCUCACAUAGUCACAUGAGUUGCAUUUGGAGGAAGGAGCCUUGCUAACCAAAAAUCAUUCUAGAGGUGGGAUCCUUGUCGAAAAGAAUAUUGCUUCCCUUUAUGUCCCGCUGAAUUAUAGGAGGACGGAUUUCCUCAGGAAGAAAUGCAAGCGCUGAAGCCCAUGGGCAACAUCUAGAGCAAUUUUAACAAGAACUCUCCAACUGACGGCGCGGCGGGGGAUGGCUCGCGACGGGGGACGGCUCGCGACGGGGGAGGCUUCGCGAGCAGCGGCAGACGGCAGUGACCCACGCUUCGCGGGCAGCGGACGAUGGCGCCAUGGCGGCCUCUCAAGCGCACGGCACGGUGACUUUGCUCGGGGGCAUCCUAUUCUAAAUUUUUUCUUCCACCGAAAUUCAGGCCGAGCGUGUGGAGGAGUUCAACAUCUUCCUGUCAUGCUCUCAGCGGGUGCCGUGCUUAUGAUCUCCGGCCUUUUAUUCCACCGAAAUUCGCUGCCCAAAUGGUUCCAGAUAGUGUGCUGGCAGGCUGCGACCGUCUCCUUUUUUGCGGCCUGGCUCGCCGUCUGGGAUCACAUAAGACUUCGGCUCAGCCAAACUCCCUCUUCGAAAAGACCCAAACUGAAAACACAAAAGUUUACCUUUGUUUUUCCACAGUUCUUUUUCUUUUCUUUUCUUUUCUUUUGACAGCACAAAAGUGUACCUUCCACUUUCAACUAGUACUCCAACUCUUGUAGCUUCCCUCAAAAAAGUAUUAACUCUUGUAGCUUUCGGUUUUUUAAUAUCAAAACUGUUGAAGUUGUUGUGAUUUCAACCUCGACGUAUCCGCCACGGCCAUCAUUGAGCUCGCCUCUUCGCUGCUACUGGUACUACCUAGUGAGGCGGCAAAGCAGGCCAUGGAGGCGGUGAGUGAUGAUGCUGCCUGCAACUCAGUUUUGAGCAUUCAUCAGGGGUCAUACACAUCAAAACUAUCAAUCUCCAUUGAGAAAAAGGGAGGAUAUCCAUCCUUAAUAGAUAGGAAAAAAAAUUGUGUACGUAUCAUUUUUUUUACAAGAACACCAAUAAGAAUUGAAUUGAGCAUCUUUGCACUGGCAGAAUGCAAGCGUUACAAGUUUAGUUCCCCUUCCUAAGAUUUACAGCUCCAACACACACGACACAAGGCAAAUUAGCCAUUGUCCUGUAGCUGUCUUUUUUAUUUAUUUACAUCAUGCAUCUGACUCCCGUCAAAAUUCUCAUCUCACUCCAACUCGGCUAGCCCUCAGUGAGUUAGCAUCUCCUUUUGGCAUGCGAUGUGUCGGUGCUACUGCUACGGAACAGGCCUUCCCAGUGCUUCAGAGUUCAGAGCAAAGAGCAGGAGCCAAAUUCCAUCCUAUGAAUCCUCCAAGUUAUGCACCUCUUCUGGUCUUGUGGGUUUGUUCGUGCUAGGUAACCUAAGCUGCUCACAUAAGGCCCCAAAAAAUAUAAGUUGGAAAUUGUAUCUAUGAGUACGAUUAUUCGGCUACCAAUGAACCAACUUCAGGGAGUUGAUAACUUUUUGUACUACACAGAAGCAAGAUGAAAACUAUGCUGAACAUGACUACAUUUGGAAUACUGGGGAAAAUGAGUAUAAGCAAAAUGCAAUAGACACGGCAACUAGUGAGUGACCUUAGACCUCCUCGUGUUCAGUGGCACAGGAUCCUUCUUCAGUGGUUUAUAUGCAAAAGUCUCCAGAUCGAUCACCGGUGGGGGUGGCAUGGGGUUACCAGCACCUUUCUGAUUACUUGUAACCUUGACAUGAAAAUGGAUAACAUAUUAAUUUGUUAGUUUUCUAUAUAUACUUCAUUAGCCUAGGAUGUCAGUGAUAUAGGCAUAUGACUGAGGGAUACAGGUCUGGAAAGGGAAGCUACAUACCUGUUCAUUCGAUGAUUCAUGCUUGAUAUCCAAACGAUCAGCGAACAAGAGCACCUUCGUUUGAAGAGGACAGUUAGAUUGAUGUGGGAAUAGUACUAAAUCACAAGAUGCAUCAAAAUGUGCAAAUUACCCUGUCCAAUGAAUGUAGAUUUGAAGCAUCGGUUGCAAGAACUCGCACUCCGAGUGGCAUGGCACAAGCAUUUUCACAAGGGCAGAAAGGGCAUGUUACUGGCUUGUACACACAUCCAUCCUUCUCAGACCAAACGCCAGAAUGGUGAGCAGAACCUUGGCCACGGAAUUUGGUAAGGGUCUCUUGGUUGAGUGAGGAUGCGUCACACACAAUAACAUUUACCAUAGCUGGUGGCGAUGCCAUAAGAUCAUCUUGUGCGAAGCCAACACUUGAUAGUCCAUGUCUCAAAAGAUAUGUCAAGUAAAAAUUCGAGGGUGAUGACAAUGAGCAUGAAACAAGAAAGCCAUCCUUCUGUAAUCCGAGUGGUGUUUUACAUCUGCUGCAAUAAAUAAGAAGCUUGUUCCGUGCGGAUUCUUUUGGUGAAAACUCAACUGGCUUGUGGCAUCUUUCAAGCUUAAAAUUUUCACAUCUGGACAUGUUCAUACUUUUACAACAUAGGCCACCAGUUCUCUUCAGAUCUUCAGGCACUGUGAUGCCAGCACAAUCAGAAUCGCCGAAAGAUUUCGUUGAAGGAUUGGAAUGCUCUGUGUCCAUGCAAUAGCUUAUUGGAGGGCUGAACCUUCUCUUUUUCUGGUACUGUGAGUUUACGCUUCUGUUCACUGAAGAAUAUUCAUGCUCCAAAGGAUAAUCUCUAUUAGAAGUUCUUUCAGGAGUACCCACUGAUGUGGACACACAAGAAUGGUUUCUGUUUGCUGUUGUUAGCGAAGUGGACACAUUUACAUUUACAGCCUGAUCUUCAUCAUUGUUCAUCACUGCUGAGAUAUUUACCUCAGAAUGAUUGCUGGGACUAGCAACAGGAGCCUCUGUAAAAGUUUCUUCCACAAGAGCAGGCUGUUGCAACCUGUGUUCUGAUGGAUUAAAGAUAGUUAAUGUUGAGCACCUGCAAACAAUAGCAAGGCUAAAUAAAAUGGAAACUGAAUUACAUUAGAAUACUCAAGAACAAACAUGCCUGAAUGCAGAUAGAUUACCAAGACUUAGAAUCAAACUUCUCCAAGUCAAUAACAUCUGUAUUGACUUCAUAAUCCCCCCCAAUGUCUGCUUCACCUUCCAAGUUAUACUGAAUUUUGUAAGAGGGAGGGAGUUGGCAUGCUGUUGAAAGACUUCUGGGUAUGGGAGAGCUUAACUUCUUUGCUAGAUCAGAAGAUUUAGAAGAGAUCUCCCAUGCUUCUGAUGAUGGUGACGCAUAAGACAUACCAAUUUUAUUAUGGUAUACUCCUGCCAAACCAUCUAUUUUUGGAACCUUCAAACUUCCACGUUCAGUCUUUACCUUCUGAUUACUUUGCAGUAUUGAUUGGUUUAAGAAAUUUGGUUCUGGCCAAGGCAGUUUUCUUUUAUCGUCGUGCUUUGGAAGUAUAUCAGCCUCCAACUUGACAUUAGGGGACAUCUCUCGACCUCUUAUCUUUAUAUGCUCCUGAAGAGACCAUCAUUUAUAUCAGAUAGUCCAUCCACAUUCAGAAAAUCAAAUGCAUAAUAAUAUCAGUACCUCAGCCUUUUGAAAAAACUUCUCCAAUCCAUCCAUCGUAUCCUGGAAGCUACCAUAAUGCUUAAUCGAGUUCUUAAGCCAUUUUGAAAUGUGUACAAGGUUUCUCUCUUCCUGAUACCGCUCAUCUGUACAAAUAACAUAGUGGUUAUAAGUAAUCCUAUAUCAAGAACAGCUUAUUGCAUCCAUUAGAAUACACAUCACACAAAUAUGAAAACUACAAGGACCAACUUUCUGGCUAAUCAUACCAAUCAAAAUUAUGCCUCCGUAGUCAAGCUUAUGCCGAAUACAUCGACCUAGAAAACGACAAUAGUAAUUAGCCAUUUUCAACCUUAAUCACAACAAAUGAUCUACAAGUAAAUCAACAGCUAAAGUAUCAUACCAGCAGCUUGAUUCAGAGCACGAAAUGCUUGAUGACAGUACCAGUCACUCCCACUUAACAGAUGCUUUGAUGAUUUGUAGGAAUCAUUAUAUCUUUUUUUCAGCUUUACUUGGACAUCAUUUCUGAUUCAUGAAUAAAACAUCAGAAUAAACAUGGCAAAAGAAAUUGGACUUAUGUCUAGAAGAAAAAGGGUACUUACAUAUUUGGAAAUGGAAUGCCAACAAUGACCUUAAAUCUUGGUCAAGGAAACUGAUGCGUAUCAAAAUCAUUAACUCUCAUGUUCUAAUAGAAUAGGUGUAGAUGUGUAGUGAAUAAACACUAAUACCAAUCAUGCUACAGGUUACUAGGGCAAAAGUUUGGCAAUAAAUUGUCUAUGUCAUAACAGCAUGCAAUGAUAAGGAGAAAAGUAAGGAUACAACAACUCUAGCGUUGUCAUCAGAGAAGUCAAUUCCUUCAGAUACCUGAAACAAAAAAUCAGCAACUGCAAAGCAUAAGCUAAUGACAGCUAGUAUAUGCACACAACACCAGAAUAAAUGUAUAGAAUUAGCACCUUCCCACGACAAACUGCAAGAAAAGCAGCUCCUCCUUUAGCAGAUUCCUGUGAUGAAUUCUUUCUCACUCGAUUCUUCACGAUUUGUUUUGCACCACCUCUGCCUUUCUUGAGGGGAGCCUUGCCAAGGAUUGCAUCAUAGUAUCCUUUCAGGAUGGGCUCAAGUUCCUCGGUACUUCCUCUGGGCUCUGAGACAAAAAAUAUCUUAAAUAAGAAACCUGCAGGAAAUUGAAAAUUUAAACAGUGGGCCUUUUAGAAUUCCGAAGCAAUGAUAAACUUACCAACAAACACGGGCUUAUUAGCAUGCAAUCGUGCCCAUUGGCCUGUCUGAGCCCAACGAACUUUCAUUUUAUCCAGCAACUUAUAGCUAGGAAAAAACACUAGAGCGCCACCUGGAACUAUUCUGCAUAUUUCUUCUAUUGAAGCUCCAAGCUCGUCCUAUAAAAAUGAGAACAUUUUAUUUUUGGAGAAAAUUAUUUAUGUCAGAAUAUGACAACAAAAUAAUGACAAGUUACCUGGAAAGAAUACACAUCUGCAGUUUUAUAGCUGGCAUUCAACGGAUAUUUUGUUGGCCCAGAUGAUAUUACACUUGCAAAAACCUGCAUCAGAGUGCCACAUAGGCUGAGAAAAACUGCAAACAAAGUGGUUAUUUGGCAUAAUUUGGUGAUAUUUCUAUGCAUGCAAGCUCCAUAUCAUAUCCAGGUCAUAAUUUAAUUAAGGUCAGAGGCUUAGAGCUCAUCAGGCCAAAGCUUUUGUAUGCUGUCUGGAUGGAUAGCAGGGCAGCUGUAUUUCAAGUAGUGAGAAAUGAAAAUCAGUUCAAAAACUUUAUAUACACUAUAGGAUUAACAAAAAGCUGGACACCUGACAGGACUAGCUUAACUAGAAUUCAAAUAGGUUGGAUAAGAGGCUGAGGAAUGCACAGUAAGUUCAAGCCAUAUCAGUUAACUAAAAAAAGUGCUUAGCUUUCAAAUAGUUUGAAUCGGUCAACUCUUUUUAAUCACAUAUUGUCUUGCCAUUUAUCAGUAUGCACACUUUUUAAGGAUUACCAAUAUGUAUCAAAGUAAAACAAUCCAUUGCCAGUCUCUAUCAGACAAAGCUUGGGAAUCUAUGGUAACAAUUUGAACUAGAAUUUUCUGUUCUACUAUUACGACCGAAAAUCUAUUUGCAGGAAAAGGGAACCACAUUCCACAUUUUUAUCAGCUUACGUUAUGUGGAACAAAAUUAGUCUUAAAGUAGGGAUAGGAGAGACUAGAAAUGGUUACACUUUACUCAACUUCAUACCCAAUAGUUGGUAAAAAUCCAUCACCAUUUGGCUAUGCAGUACUUUUUAGCACAGCCGACUUGCAAAACACACACCUGAGAAUCAGCAUCAAUUACGUGAGGAGCUUCCAUGCAAGCGUCAAACUGGACACCGAGUUCAGAUGCAAAGGAGCCCAUUGGAGAGAGUGUGCUGCAGAGAUACAAAGUUAAGAGAGAACUGUAUAUUAUCUGUUAAUCUGUUAUUCUAGAGAAACUUUGAUGGGCUAUUUUAGAAAACUUCAGAAGUGGAUAACCUAAUUAUUUUAGCUUGGAACAAUUAUGCGACAGUUGGUCAUGUGCCUACAAGGUGAUGAAAACCCUGUUAAAUAGAGCAUGUCUAUAAGGCUGAAAACCCUGUCCUCAGCGAAAUUCCAGUUGGCACAAAUCUAAAAUAUAUUCACUAUUUCCAUGAAGUCACUCUUCUACAUAUACUUAGUUUCUCUUCUAUGUUCUUUUUUUUUUCAAAUUAAUACAUUCCAUCUUAUCAGAUGUCAUAUGUGGAUCAUCAAAGCGAUAUGCUGUUACAGUAAAUAAAACCACUUUCCUAAAAUUUCGAGGGGAAGUAUGAACUUGGAAACUUACCCAGAUGUCAAAAUUACUGAAAGGGUUAGAUCUGAAAUGCCUUGAAAAACAACAGCAGGACUGAGGCACCACAAACUCAUCACAGAUCUCGAUCCUAUGACAGAACUGCCUGCAAAUGGUGUGAUUCAAAAGUUAUGCAAUCAAACUACAUGUUACAUGUUGGAAAAAGGGAAAAGGAUUGGAUCAGACUAUCCAGUAUCCACGACUUUAUAGUUAAUCAAGCAACCGGAUUCGUAAUUUGAAGAACAUCUUAAUCUUAUGUAUACUGUGCAAGAGCCAAUUGACUUCAAUGACAUCAAGAAAACGUUUUAGGGAGUAAGCAUUACUACCUUCUCUUUGAACAAAAUGCUGGAAAGCAAGUUGGUAAUCAUAAAAAUGGCACCCAUUCCCAGCAAAAAAAUGGCUCAAUGAGGAGAAUAGACCUGCAAAAAUUGUGCAGUGUCAUUAGGUUAUUACAUAUGCUGGGGAUUAAAGGGGAAAAUGUGUGGCUUACUGUCCAGUGUCAUAACACCACGACCAGUUAAGUAUUCUCCAUCUGACUCGGUAUCCGAAGCAGCCUUAACUGCCUAAUACAAGAAGGUGAUAGAAUCAAGGUCUAAGUGGAUAAUUUUGUCAGUCACAGGCCAAAGAAGAGAAAGAUUACAGACAAACUGUUACACAGCUACAUUAACUAGGUGAUAUACUCUAGCGUAACUGCCUAGUAAAACUUGAAGAAAGAAGCACCUUCGUCGCACACUCUUGCAAUAUUGGGAAGUAUGCAGGAGUAAUACCGGCCUUCUGGAGUUCCUUCAUAGCAUUUUCACCAGUCCAACUGAGGAUUACAAAAGGUUAAAUAAACUGAAUGCAAGACAAAUGUUUAUUCUCAUGCUUUGUUGCAAGCAUGUAGUUAUUCUGGUGAAUUUUACAACUGGAAGUUCAACAUGGAACUCAAUCUUAUUAUGGAUCGGAGGGAAUAAUAUAUUUAAAAAUACUCGCACAAGGUAGCAGGUCAAUGCACUGAAAAUAAAUAGAAAUAGACAUGUACUGCACAAUUUUAUGCAACCUUACGUUAUAUAUUUCAUAAGAGAUUCUGUGGUCCUUGAAAACAUUCUACACAGUCUAAUGACAGGCAACAAAUGUCUGAGAUGCAGUAGUACGUAAUGUUAUUCCACGUGCACAUGAAGUACGUAUUAUUUGUACUAACACUGAAACAUGGUACACAAAUUUCAGAGUAUGGGUAGCUUACUGGUGCAUAUUUAUUCCUAAAUGACUGAAACAUGAUAUACAGAAAUCCUAAAUGACACUGCUUGGCGUGUUCGAGAAAAAAAAGUUUGGUUUGAACAUGGAGAUGGAGAGGAGAAAGAUUAUAACAAUGACAGUGGGAUUAUUUGCAACUUAUUCAAUUUGGGGAUGCUAAAGCUGGGGCCGAUUCAGAGAAAAUAAAAAGAAUCACGAUGCCAAUCUCCCCCCUAAUAAAUUGUGGUACCAGUACCUCAUGAUACUUCUCCCCAUAAAACCGCUCAUAUUUCAAUGAGCUAUGCAGAUCUUUCAGGGGUACGAAGAUGAGAUGGCAAAAACUAGGUAGAUAAAGAUAAAAACAGGUAAGAAACAAUACAGGAUUCCAUAGUACAUACAAUGAAGCAGGAUGUUCAAACUCGUUAUCUCGUAGAUUGCCCACCUGAUCAGUAAUCCAAUUGAUAAGCCCCUGCAUAAUUACUAACAGCUUAAUCCCUGAGACCAAUAUUGCUACCAAAUGUGUAUUCUUCCCUUAUUAAGGAGGAACAGUAGGAUUACAAACUCUUCUCAUUAAAGUACCUCAAUGACCUCAUGCAAGGGUUGGUAUAUCUUUGCAACAGCCUCGUUAGUGGCCAAGUUUGCUAGUUCUCCCGCCAAAGCUUGACCACAGAAAUAAAUAAAUUUAGCUCAGCACAAUUUAACAGAACAAUGCGUUAAGCUCUAAUGGAACAGUGACGAUUGCCUUACUGGUAAGUGAUUCUUCAUCAACAUCAACACUUCCAGCAUCACGUGCUAUAUCUUCUAUGUUGCUGCAAGACAAGUAUUUGAAUAAACACAGGCUGGAAUUCACCGCUUUGUUACUACAACUGCUCUAAAGAGAAAAUAUCAGAUUUGAUAAUUGGUUGAAAAGGUACCACAAGAAACUAGUUUAACAAAGGAAACCAUGGAAGUACAUCAAUCAUGUCAAGAAGGAAAUGAUUGACUGAAAAAGAAACACAAGUCUGGACUUACUGUGCUUCAUCAAGAAUAACAAUUGAGCCACUGAUAUCAAUGUCCAUUGCUCUUCUGACAAUUGGACUAAUUAGGUAGUUGUAUGGACAGAAAACCAGUUGAGCUGUUUCUGCCAUGGUUUGUGCAGCAAAAUAUGGACACCCUGCAGAUAGCAAAAAAGGGGGUAGUUGAACAGAUGUCAAACAUUCAGCGGUGACAUCAUGCACUCCUCAGGAUUCAGAAUUAAAUCCUUUUAACCAAAGAGAUGAACAGACCCUUGACUUGUCGUCCAACUCUAAGAAGAUCCUCAAUAUCGUGAACUUCGUAGCAGCCACCCUUCUGAAGGGAUGGAUGACGACUUAGUUUCUGUGCAUUCCUGCCAAUACAGUUUUCUCAUUGCGUUACUGUCUGUGUGGGGAAGGGGGCGGAGAGGUUCUCCAGGUUAAAUACGUUUUGCCAUGAAAGAAACUAGAAAAUCUCACUUGAAUUCUGGGCAUCCUUGAACCUUGUCAUCCAAGAGCAACUUGCUGAUGAAGGAUAGCACGAUUCAUUAAAUGAUUAGAAAAUGAAUAAUGCAAAAGAUUGGAAAAGUAAUGUCUCUUAUAUGUUACCAUUGCUCAUCAAUGUUGUCACUCAUGCAUACAUUCUUAUUGACACAAUAGUGCUUCCUCGAAGCCUGCAUUGCAUGAUUACUGUACUUGUCAAACAAAAUGCAGUUUAACUUCAGAAUGUGAGAACAAGUUGACCCUAGGAGUGGAACUACAACAACAACCAGUGAUGCAUGAUGAUUGAAUAGCUGUCUUGGCGUCAUUUGUGCCACUGCUACUUAACUUUGGUUGGAUAAUGUAGUUCUUUUAAAGAUGGCAAGAAGUAUACUGAGAUGGAAACACUAGUUACCAAGACGGCCAUGCGCACUCGGUACGAUGUCUUGCGGAGCUCCCGGACCACCUGGGUGAUCUGCGAGUGCGUCCUCCUGCAGAAAAGCAACCGACCAAGAAAUCAAUCAAGAUUCUCAACGGCUCAAGUCAGAGGAGCACAAAUCUUACGUCGCGUAAUAGAUGGUCGGAGCAUUCUUCUUCUUGGCCGCCUUUUCUGGGACGCCUAAACAUCAAGAAUGGCAACUGGGAAAUGAGCGAUAAAGAAGAGCAGAUCGUUCUUGAUCCAAGAAUUGAUGGCAAGAGAAAGAAAGGGGGAAGGUGCGAGCGUAGCGUACCCGGAGUCGCCUGCUGCUGCUGGGUGUCGUCGGGGACGAAUCCGCCGCCGUGGAGGAAGGGGUCGGCAGCGGGCGGGGCCGGGGGCGCACGGAGCGGGUAGUGGCGCUGCCAAGCGAGCGCAGAGCAGAGGAGGGAGAGCGACUUUCCGGUGCCGGUGGGCGACUCGAGGAGCGCGUGCGAGCGGCCCUGCCGCCGGGCGCGGUCCAGCGUAGCGAUAACCCGGCCCAUGAAGGCCAGCUGCGUCCCGUACGGCUUGUAGGGGAACUCCACCGGCACGCCACCGACCUGGUACACGCCGCCUCCGAGACGCGCGGGUGCGGGCGAGGGCGCCGGGGUGGCGAAGUCGUCGGCGGCGGCGGCCAUCGCGUCGGCUCCCAUUGGUAGCGGGCGCACGACUCGUGUUUGUGGUUUUGCCCGUGAAGGGGAGAAAGGGAAAUGUUUUUUUUAGACAGAGAGAGAGAAAGGGGGGAAAGUCCGAAAGGGGUUUGGGCGCGAGGAUUUUGGACGCCGCGCGCCAUCCUAAAUAUUUCGACUCGCGACAGAGGUCCGCUUCCUGGGCGGACCAUUGUUUGGGCCCAUCAGCCCAUCUUGAGUUGGAAGGCUGAGGUUUUACGUUUGCUUUAUGCCGUACAAUUUUAAACUGAUUUAUCAAAAUACUCUUCGAGGUAAACUAAAUCAAGCGUGCCGUCGUCUCACAUAGGCACUAGCAAAAUAGCUUUCGAGCAAUGCCAAGAAGAAGAAAAUGUCAAAUGAAAUGAAAUCAGGUCAACCUAAAGGUUUCAAUCAACCGCAACACCAAACAUAUCCGAUAUCCCUGCUAAGGCUUAGUUGGCGGUUGCUACAACCCUCGGUGCAAAACAUGAACACAAACCAUCUAAAAAAAUGAAUACAAAAGAUAAACUUAUUUUAUAAUCCUCUGGAAAAAUAAACACGCAAAAAAUGAAAAUUUGGUUAACCAAAUAAUAAAGGGUGGAGCAAAAACAUUAUUGUGUUAGUCCGCCACAAUACCAAAUGCAGCCUAAAGUGCAUGGCUUCACCAGAGCCAUAGAAGAAAUUUUCUAUAGGCCAGCAAAGCUAUUAGAUUUUUUCUAUUAAUCCCUCUGCUAGUCUGCUGACCUGGUUAAACCAAGGCGCAUGUUCGUAUUUACAUGAAAAUAAUUGGUUUUCGACAAUCAGAAAACGAAUGGCUACUGUACAGUGUCUAUCACUUCCUACAGAUCACAUUUCGUAGGGCUAUUCGACCUCAUCUUCCUGCUAGCUAGUGGCUACAUCCUACAGGCCGCCACGGCGUAGCCUCCUCAGCUGUUUAAGGCGAGUCUGGGCGCGCUCAAGGCAGGGUCCGUGGUGCGACAGGCCAUGCCAGGGCUCCGUCUGACUCCUCCCGUUCAGCGUCCCAAGCCUCGCGAGCUCGUCGCGGAGGGAUGCAACGUUCACGAUGGGCACUGUGGUCGGACGCCCAUGUGCACACUGCAAGAAACGGAAUGUUCUCGUUUCAUUUACUUUGCAAAACCACAUAGCGGCGACGGAAACAAGGAGUGGGGAUUCUACUGUCUUAUUUUGUUACCUGGAAGCACAGAGAUGUUGCUUUCAGUUCUUCGAUGAUCAGACAGCACUCGGACGGUAGCAAGGGAUCGCCAAACAUAAUUGCUCCUACAAUAGUAAACCAAAGGUGGAACAUCAGCAUCUUGAUUUGGAUCAGAAACGGAACUUACAGAUUGCACAAAAUGCUCGAGGAAAAAGAAUCGCAUUAUGAUUUAAUAGAGGAAAGGAAGAAAUGGUUACCUCUGCAAGCUUUGAAAUUAAGAAUACGGAGAACUGCUGGGGGAAUAGUUGAUGACCCAUCACUCUCAUCGAGCUACAGAGAAUAGCAACAGGUAUGGAACAGAAGGACAGUGAAGUAGCUCAGUAGCUGUAACAGAAACACAACUGCACAUCUGCAUAUUUUGCUAGGCAAAUUGUUAAGUAGACAAGGCAGUCAUAUUCUCCAUCAUUUCAUUACGAAUGACAAGUUGACAAUUUUAUUGCUCUCACUCAUGCUAGUUCCAUACACGUUAUUCUUUAUCUUCCUGGCUGCAUUUUCUUACACAAGAGUAAGACUAGUGUGUCAUGAAAAGCAUUAUAUCUUCAAACAAUUUGACUUCAAAUGAACGAGAAGAACUUAAAAGGAAGUGGAGCAGGAUCAAUCACCUGCUGAAUAAAGUCCAUAAGAUCUUUUCCUGUUAAAUCGACGCCCAAAAUACAUGGAACCUGUGUAGUGUAGAUAAUGUUUAGUGCACGAGAAUACUUGAUGCAGUUUCAUCUGAUAAGAUUUCACCAGAUACCUUUGACACCAUUUGGGGAAAUAAUUGCAUGGAAAACUAAAGACAAACUCAACAAUUGCACUUCUAAGAGGCACUAAGAUAAAAGUGUGCACAGUGUUAACGUAAGGCUCGAGAGCUACCAAUAGCACAACACACAAAAGUUAUUGUCAACUACCAAACUCAGGAAGAGCAGUUACUUCUGAAAAGACAUGGUGAUAUUGAUAUCAUAUACUCCGUAGAAGAUAUGGCCUGAAGAUUACAAGGAAAUAGUAUUUAUUAUGUGUGAAACUUGUCUGUAAUUCUCUUGCAACUUCCAAGAAACCUGCGCUUUGCUUUUCUUUCCAUUUUAACAGUAAUUAAUCCAUGCAUAACUUUAUGGACAUCAAAGAUCAAACCAACAUUGGGUUUCAUGGCAUAACCAUUUACCAAAGAAAUAAUAGGUAGCCAGAAAUAGUACAAACCAAUAGGCCUCCUCAUCCAGUGGAUAGAUUGAAGUAAAAGAUAUACGGGCAGCAAUACUACAAACAUGUUGAAUAAAUAUUGAUGACAGAAAAGGGGCAUACAGCAGUAAGAGCAACUAGACGGGCUUGUCUCCUCAGAAUGUUCAUGUUCCUGAGAAGAAGAAAAACGUAAGUGGUAUAUGUUAGUAUAUAUCCCUCCGAUUCAUAAUAACUGUCGGGGAUUUGGUACAAAUUUGUACCAACUUUGUACUAAAUCCUCGACACUUAUUAUAGAUCGGAGGGAGUACAAAGAAGAUGAUCAGAUGAACAUAUUUUGGUCCUUCUGAUUAUGAUCAACUGAAGCAUACGGACAAUGCUAACUAAAUUACAAAUCUAAACAGAACUAUAAGUCAAGUCUCAGAUUGUUAAAAAUAAGAAAGGGGAGGGAACACUAAUUACAUCAGGGAAUAUAAUAACUAAAAUGAACGCAAGGAGAAACAUGUGCAAGAAAACCUCAUGAAAAUUGCAUAAAAGGUUAAGCAGGCCAAAAAAAGCAGGCCAGAUGAUAAUCAAGCACAUACUUUUUGAAUGAUUGAGAAGAACUGCUAGAACCGUUGAUGAUCCAGCCCCAUUUCUGAAUCUGCUCACUGUACUUCUGGAACAAUUGAAAUCCAGUCUCAGGGAGAGCCUGACACCAUGAGGAGAAUAAAAUAGCAAACAGUAAAUCAUAGUGAUGUUUCCAUAUUUUACAGUAAGACAAUGCCUCGGAUGCCAACUUAUAAAAGAUGAAGUACCAUAUCCUCCUCUGAGUCCAAGUAAGUGAUUCCUCGGUCUUCAUCUGAUAAAACCUGAAAAUCCAAAGGAUAUUAGUACGUAAGAUGAAAAAACAGUGUUAAAGAGAUCUUCCCUGGUAAGUUUAACACUAAAAACCUUGCCACGAAGCUCCUCCAAGCGUAUCCUUUCAUCAGCUGCAUGCUGUACACAAGUAAAAGAGGACAUCACUAGCUAAAACCUUUCAGAAAAGACUUUCUAUCACCAUACAUCUAUUGUCUACUUUUGAAAGUACAUGAACAUAAGAAAUGCAUGAUACACAAUCCAAUACACAAAAUAUAAUCCAAAUACUUUCUAGUAUCGGGCAUAUAUCCCCAAAAAAACUGUGAUCAAGCAUGAUAAACAUCUCCUAUAGGUGGUUGAGUCUAAAACCGUGACUGUGAAAUAGAAUAUCCAGUUCAUGGACUUCAUGAUUUGAUCACUCAAAAUGCACCAAUCAACAUGAUUAGUUCCAAUUCCAUGAAUGAUUGACAUUAAAUAAACAAUAUAUAUACAAACUGUUAAAAAUUCAUUAAUCAAAUAACCAAUUACGAACCUGAUCAACAAGUAGCAGCAUCUCCCCAGAUAUGACAGGAAUAAAUUUCUUAUCUAGCUGAAACAGAACUCUUGCCUCCUCAAAGCACUUUUUAUCAAUAUAUUCUGGAACUAGCGAGCUACAAGAGAGAUUUAAGGGCCCGGAAGAAAUGCUAAGUACGUCGUUGAAGCAUUCAGAAGGAACAUGUGGCAACUUCAAAGCCUACACAAGGAGAUAAGCGGUAAGCAUAGAAAGCAUGCACAGUAACUAGGCCAUAUUGUGAAGUCCAUGAAUGUGAGCAUCUCAAAUUUUUAAUGCAUGCUCAACUGUAUGCUGGUCCGAGUCAUCUCGCCAUUUAGUUAUUUGCGCAGUAGAGUUUUCAAGCCCAUCAGAAUAUGUCUCUUCACACAUUUUCACAUUUCCUUUCAAGCUGGCUCAAAUGAGAGAAGUGCUUAGAAACAGGCCCAGAAAGACUUUUGCAGCAUUAAACAGAUGCGGCAAGAGCAGAAUACCUGAGAUUUAGGGCAGAAAAAUCACUGCUACUAGUCUCAGGAAUAGGCUGGGUUGCACUCAUUUGUGAGAUAUCCUCGGGUGCAGGUGUGGCAUCUGCAUUUAAUUAUAAGAAUACGAACUUAGAUCCAACAAUGGAAUAUAAACGGGAUGGAAAAGAUUAUGAGCAGAAGAACCUUCUUUGUCAUUAAUCGGGAUAGCUUUAUCAUGUUCUGCUGUCAAUUUGGUCAGAUGCUCAUUCAAUCCAGGAAAUUUUCGUUUGCCUCUGUAAAAUGGUGGAGCAGAAUGACUCCUAGAUCUACUACCCUUGGAAAGCCUGGAUCUCCAACCAAAUCCAAAAUUUUGUUGACACAGUUGAUCUUCAAUAAGCGCACUGUCUUUUGCCAUUUGGGGAGAAGAAACAUUCAACUGGCAACCAGAAGUACUUUUCUCGGGAGAAAUAUUGUAUGAUAAUGUUGCAUCAAAUUUUGAUUUCCAGGGUACCUGACAAUCUUCAGAAACAAACUGGCCGACAAAACAAUUAUCAUGAUUGAAGUAAUUAAGCGACUGAGUUUCUUCAUCAAAGUUAUUAAAAUGUUUAGGUCCUUCACUUGUUCUUCGUGAAUCACUGAUAUAUCUUUCCAAAGAAGAUUGAAAAUCACUGUCAAUAUUUUCAGAACUCCAAUAAGCAAAGCUCUUAUUUGAUUCCCCGUGCAAUUCCAAGUCAGUCCUUGCAUGACUGUGACUAUGAGGUGUAUCAGCCAAUGAAAAUGGAUGAGAGAAAUGGAAGUAUGUAUCUUCGAUGGAGGACCUAUCAAUGUCGUCACUUCCCCACCUUGCUUGUAUUUCAGGGAAGUUUAUAUGGGCAACUGUAUUAGCCUCAAGGUCUUCAACAUAUCCCACUGCAUUCCCUAACUUCUUUCUUGCGCUGCACCUUUUCAGGACACUAGAGGUGCUACGAUCUUCAUGAUAGAAUCCAUCACUGGAAUGCGACAUUUCAGGGCAAGAAACAUCAGCUAUUGUCUUCGUAACGUCAUUGAGUAGGCAAUCCUCAUUUAGUUUACAAAAUUCAGCAUAGAACCCAUCAAAGACAGACAUGUUUGCCUUUAUAUUGGUUUCGUUUUGCAUAAAAUCACAGGUAAUUCUGUUUGGUGUACUGAGAACCCCAAAGCAAGGGUCUUGGAGAUCAAUUUCUGGACCAAUUAUCUCAGACUCUUGAUCAUCAGCUGAAAGGCCUAUUGUUUGUACAUCUUUGGACUUGACAAAAUUACAGGAAUAUUCAUGCCCAUGGAAUAUACCUUCCACUCGUCGCUUUUUCCAAACAGUUGGGUUAGCACAUGAAAGAUCACAGUCUUCUAACUGGGAAGAACCACCCUUUAACCACUGAUGACUGAUGCUUUCAGGAACACGUGCUUGUGUAUGCCCAAAUAUCUGAUCAUUACUAUCAACAUUGUCAGAGUGUUUGGAUGCACCGAUGAUCUGGUCAGGGUAGCAGACAUGCCAUGAGGAUGGCUUCAUAUCGAAAGAAAAGGAAUGUGAGUCUUUAGGUCCUGUUGCUGCAUCCAUACAAACAUUGCUUUCUCUGACCACACUCUUCUGCAGAGAGCGUUUGUGUAAGUCAACAUCGUCUUCCUUGUUCUGCACAUUCUGAUGCCUUAGGAGGCUCCCAUUGGACUUCCCUGCAAUGACAACACAUGAACAAAGCUCACAACGAAAAAAAUUCAAAAUAGAACCAAAGAAGUGAAAUAUGUUCACCAAGUCACUAACCAUCACAUUUCAGAGGCACAGAGGUAUCAAUCGCUUUGCCUGCCAAUACGAAAGGAUAACAUAAAACAUUCAUUCAUACCGGUCAGUUCUUCUCUUCAGUUACUAUAUAAAUGCUCGUGUGUUCCUACAGAAGUGAUUAUUUGUCCCAUGAGUGGUUUAAGUGCUUGUGCCAUCAUAAUCCCUAACCUUUUGUUUCUAUUAAAAAAAAUCUCAAAACACACAUCAAUCAAAUCAACUAAUCAGAAGAUUGUGACACAUAUGUCUACUACAUAGAAUGGAUGAAACAUUGUGGUACGCCCUCCAGCCUUUUAUAGUGGGUGUGCACCGCAUUUCGAGAUUCAACUUUGACCACUAAUUAGACCAAUAAUAUGUAGUUUAUGUGUCACAAAAAUUAUACCAUUGUGUUUGUAUUCAAAAGAGUUUUCGAUGGUGUAAUUUUAUGCCACAUAGCUCACAUAUUACUGGUGUAAUUGGUGGUCAAAGUAAAAUUUUGAAAUGUGUUCGCGCUCACUAUAAAGGGACUGAGGGAGUAAUCUUUUAGCAACCUAAGUGGCAAUCUUGCUGAGGGAGAAAAGACUACCAUCAACUAAAAUCUUUAUAAGAAUAAAGAAAGGAUUUAGCUUUUUCGAGACAAUAUAAGGCAAAUAAAGAUCUCAGUCUCUACCUUUGGAUGGUUGUGGUACAUGCUUCUUCCAGUAGUUUAUGAUAGUAUCUUCAAAGAUAAACAAUAUACUUUGCCAGUCCUGAAUAGUGAGAAAAGAAGAGGGAAAUAUAAAAAAACGCAAUAGCUGCAAACGGAAAAACAUAAAAAGACAUUAACAUCUUAUUUCCGGAAGGCUCAAGUCACCUUUAUUAAGUGCUCGUUCUUUUUCUAAUGAAAACUAAGUAUGAGUCCAGGCAAAUGAAGCUUUAUUAGAAAAAAGAAAAAAGGGGACUCAAAAGCAUACAUAUACGUCUAAUCACCUUGAACUCCACAACAGUUUUUGAAGGCUCAUAAUAUAGAUCGUAGCUAGAUCUAGGGCAGAAGAAGUUUAGCAGAUAUGCAGGGUAGACAUCAGUCUUCUGCCUCUUCCGGCUCUGAACAUCGUUUUCUCCAUUCGUCCUUAUCAUGGAAGACUGGAAAGUAGCUGCCAGAUUAUUCAGAAUAUUAUGUAUUGGGCUUCUACUGACGAAUCUUGAGUUGACAUCUUUGAGAAGUCAAGGAUGUCACCAACUCCAAGCAUUUGAAAAAGUUUGAAAAAUGCUAAAUAGAAGUAGAUAACAAAGAACUGUCAAGUAGGAUACACAAGUACUGGAAAUCCUGAAAUGGAGAGGUGCACUUUGCUUUAGAUGGUUUGUCAAAUUUCUGUUUCAAUUGCUUGGAAUACACAGAACUGGCAUUACCUUAUUAGAGAAGACAUCGGUUGGUCCAGAUAUGUGCCCUGAAAGAGCCCAGUUCUGAUCUGAGGUAGAUAUUUCAUGAAGACAACUGGAAACAUCAUUCCCAAAACUGUUUGAUAUAAGAGGCAAAGAGGAUGAUGAAGGAACUGUACAUAGCAACUCAUCUUCGCUGCAUUUAUAGAAAAACAUUCAGAUUACAAAUACAUAAGUAAAUUUAAGAUGCCUGGCAUAGGACAGUGGACUACCUCUACCUGUCAAUGUCAAGAAGUCUGAAUGAAAUCUGUGGAUGAAUAAGUGCAACUCGCAGGACACACUUCUUCACAUUCUGCAGUUCUCUUUUAUGACUAACAAAUAUAAUAUUGAGAAAAAUAUUAAUCAAAUCUUCUUUUGAACAAAACUGUGAAACAAAAGAAAUCUAUCUUAUCCUUCAUAAUAAAAGAAAGAUCACAUGUACCUAGAUUGCAUUUGUUUUCUCCUGACUGGUUGGUUGUAAAAAAGCUCCCGAACAACAACUACAAAGAUAGAAGUGUUCUGAUAAGUAGCUUUCCAAAACAAAAAUAUAGUACACAUGAUUAGUGUCCAAUGCCAUCAUCUCAUUCUUCACAUGCAUCAGGUACAUCUAGUGCGCUUGCUUGGUGAACAUGUGUUGCAUACAUAACACCCGCUCUGCUUUGUUUCAAGGAGAAAUACCCAACUACCUGUUGUGCCAACAGCUUCCCUCUGGUCAUCUAUUCCCAGAUGCGAGCAUUUGGAUCCCUGUGCAGUUGCCACAAGACAUUCAGAUAUGCUAUACAAGGAUAGAUAAAGGAUAUGCACAUUGCACAGCAAUAAAUCGGUAUAGCGAGUGAGUGUUGCCUUUAUUAUCUUGCAGUAUGAAUUUGGUCUCCCACGAGAUUUCGUCCUGACUUCAACCACAGAGAUAUCAGAGAGUGAUGCGAGUGCCUCUCCAUUUAAUCCAAAACUUCUAGAAGCAGAUUCCCCAUCACCCAUGGAAUCAUGGAACUUGGAUGUUGCUGUGGCAGAAGGGAGUUAUACAUCAUUAGCACGUUAAAAGACACUGGAUAUCAUUGAGUACACUCUUUUAAACUUAUACAUAUUUCAGCAGUGAGCCUACAAAAACUUGCACAUAUUUCAGCAGUAAACCUACACUCAAUGAGUGACAAAGAAAUCAUUGAUUCUGAGGGGUUCCUACUUACUAACAAUCAAAAGAACCCUAGAUUUGUUCAAUCCUAAAGAUGAUGAUAGAGCAUGAACUAAAUUGUAUUUUGUAUUGAACAAAGAAACAAGAUGCACAAUAAACAAAAUAGCAAAUUCGCCACCUAGAAGGUACUAAUGCAACUAACAUGUCAUGGCUCGUAGUGAUAUCUAUAUGAACUUAAUGAUGAUUUCAUAACUUUCCAUGCUCUUUUAAUGGAAAUAAAGCAUCCUUAGAAACAGACCCAAGAUCAUUAUGGGUCAUGAGUUUAUGGCUUUAUGCAAGUAACAAUCAGACACACGGGAUACAAUAAACACAUAUCCUUUCAAUAUCAAUCAUCGUUAUCGAGGCCAAAUAUCACAAGAAUGGAUGUCCUUUCCAGUAUUACUCUUUAAAUUUCAUCUGAUUUCAUGGACAAUACUAUUCUGAGGUCAGAAUAGUAUUUCAUGGUCUGAUUUCAAUAUCAAUCAUCGUCAUCGAGACCAAAUAUCACAUGAAAUCAGAGCAAUACUAUUCUCAGGUCCAUGAAAUCAGAUGAACAUCAAGGUCUGGUCCAUUUUGUGAGUGGCAAUAAUGCAAUUUAAGAUGAAGCAAACAGUACUACUGAGUGCAGGAAAAGGCAAGCUUAUAAAUAAGGAGAGCAGAACUUAUGACUUACCAUAUUUUUCUCCCAACAGAACCAAUUCAUCUCGAGUAAUACCACAACCUGCAAUAGAGACACAACUAACAUUUCCUUUCCUAAACACAAAUCCAAGUGAUAAGAAAUUUAAAACAUGAGGUAAGCACAUACCAUCAUCUUCCACUUUAACAUAACAUGAUCUGACAUUUAGUGAGAUGUCAAUCUGAAAUUAUUACAGUUGUAUAAAAAUGUCAAUUCAUCACCAUGGAGAUACUACAUGUAGAUUAUUUUAGCCUUUUGAAAGCAAUACCCAGUAUAGACAUUACAUUUGGAAUUGUGGAUUUUUUGCAUUUAUUCUAUUUUAAUGUAAAAGCCACGCCUAUUGACGACAGUACAUGUAGAUUAUUUUUCCAUUGUUACACGUGAAGGAAAUACCUUUUUCGCAUUUGCAUCAAUGCUAUUAUAUAUCAACUCCUCAACGACCCUAAGUAGGUCAGACAGAACAAUGCUUGAGCGCAAGGAGCUAUGAACACUUUUCGGCAAGCGUUUUAUAGUCUGCAUUGACAUGUUCUGGAGAAAAAACAGGUUAAGCUUAAAUCAGCCAACAUUCAGGAAUCAAACAUAUCCAAGCAAAAUAAAUAGGAAACGUCAGAAAUUUCUUCCAGAAAUAUACAAAAAAAACUUGCUAGUAGGUUGCUUGAUCAAGUGAUGAGUGAGUAGGGUAUGGUUAUAACCGGAAACUUGGUUUGUAAAUUUCCGUUUAUUUUGAAAUUUGGUUAUUAGCAAAUGCUAACCAAAAAUGGUAUCAGAAACCAAGGAACCGAAAAGUAGAUUAACUGACAAUUGGUUUGGUUUUUGGUUAAACAUCGAAUUUGAGGAUCACACCCUCUUACUGUCGUCACCGGCCGGGAAUGGAGCACCUGAUGGCCGUUGGGUCUGUCGGACUGGCGGCAGCUGAUGUCGUGGAGGGAAGCUGGUGGGCGCGGCCGCGUCGCGUGGAGGAGAGGUGCGUCGGCGCGUCGCGUGGAGCUGACAAGAGGCACGGCGGCGCGUGGAGUGGCGUGGAGGAGAGGCGCGUACGCUGCCAAUGGACAAGAGAGUCGACGCCGUCGGUCCGCGCCUCCGUGAGGACGUGGGGUGGAGGCGUAGAGGUAGACCAGUGAAGGCCUGGGUGGCUCGGUCCCCUGCAGGCUGCGGCGGCGCCGGCCGUGGCCCGCGGGAUAGAGACGUACAGGCCUAGAUGGAUGGGUGGCUCGGUCCCCUGUGGGAUGCGGCGGAGCCGACGGCUGGCGGCGGCGGCGAUAGGUCGGUUGGGAGUCGGAGUCGGGGACGAGGCCUCGGCACUUAGACGCGCUAGCGGGCCGAUGUUGUGUACUCAACUGUUAACUAGCAGUUCUUUUGGGCCUCGGGAGUAGUUUUUUUGGGCAUCUUUGGGCCAGGCAUCAUAUCGCGGUUUUCUCUGGUUAACCAGGUCUAAAACUCCCCUAAAAAAAAACAGGUCUAAAACUGAAAAUUCCCUUCAGCUUGAACACCAAAUGGCCAAUGCUGCCCGUGAAACCAAAACACACAUCCCCUUCUCUAUCCUUAUUUUUUUUAAACGGAGGCAAAGUUUGCCUCGUCUCAUUAAUUAAGAAGAAAUUUGUUGUCCGGUUAAUUAACGAAAAACCGAACAAAAACCGUUACAACACUUCUAAGAGCCAUCGUGCAUGACAGCCCUAAAAACACCACAAGCCCAUCUGGCUACCAAACGCACUCCACACGUGCUAUCGAGGAGAAGAUCGUCGUUGACUUUUUUCGCUGGCGUCAUCGUCAUCACACAUCACUCCUCAAGCUAGCAACUCUGACUUCACCGCAAAUGACCCCAAACGAAACCCUCGUCGCAACAGUCGCCUGAAGCCCACGCACCGAGAAAGGGCAAGCCUUGCGCCGGAGAUCGCCGCUCAACGAUCGCAUCAAUCGUGAGGCACCGUUGCCACCAUGCCGCAAGAGACACCCAGCGAACAGAAAGGGGGCAGGCGAGGGCGAUCGAACGAACAAAAGAAGAAGGGUCGGGUCGGGCCGGGCCAGGUCGACGGGCCUAGUCAGACUUCAGGGAGCCAACACGGGCAAUGCUGCGACGGCGGCUCCUCGCCUGAGUGGGUUCUAGCCCGGCAAGCCGUCGAUAGUGCACCUCAGCUGUGCGAGCUCCCGUCGGUGGGGAGGCGGCGAGGCGGUCGUGACGACGGGAGAAGCACACCAAUUUCAUGCAGCAGAUUAUGCGGAGCCGGAGGACGAUUUCGAUGGAAAGAGCACCUAUUUAGUGUCAAUGUGAAGUGGGGGCGUACGAUGAAAUGCUCAAGCAAUGUGGUGUAUGAAUUUGGUGUUCUUGGUUAGCUGCUGGAUCAUAAAGGGAUGUGUUGCGAGAAAAGGUUGCUUCAACUCUUAUCUUUCGCAUCCACUAGAAAAUACUUUUGAACAAUUUCCUAGCAAGGCAUGAACAUUUCACGAUUAAAGAAGACACGGCAUCUUAAUUCUAUGUUUCUUCAUUCCUGCCUUUUUAGAUUUCUACAUACAUGUGAAACAUAGUAAAUCUCAUAUCUCACUCUCAUCAGAUUUAAGUAUUCCACGGUGCAGCCCACGGGUCGAAUCACUGAUGAAUAGCAGCGGCAAGCAAGCCUCUACAGGCUAGCAGCACGCUGGUUCUGAACCCAUGAGGCAGCUUUCCAACCCAGAACCACCCCGAGAAGAAUUGAAACACACUGGACUGCGCUGUACUGCAUCCCACUUUCUCAAAUAGUAAAAGGGAAGGGGAAAAAAAGGCUGAUGGCCAGAUCACAUUACCAAACACCUUACACUUCCUAGUUCAUGCCAGCACAAAUAGGCAGAAUCAACAAUUCAUCAGCUCUGCACCCAAAUCACGCUACUCGCUACAUCAAAACACAGGAUGUUAUGAAGAAAUGCAACGUGACGAUGGUAACCCCACCAUCAUUGCUGCCACUACAAAUAAUUUGUCAAGCUGCGCCAGCAAUACUAGCUCUUGCAGCCCACGUAACACCAGAUAGGUGAACAAAGACCGAAGGCCAUGAUUCGUCGCAAGCGCCAGUCAAAAUGAGCACUCCGACAGAGCCAAAUCUAUAAGCUGUUAUCAGUCAGGCUUCCAGGUCACUGUAUUGUCGAAUCAGUUGAGCCAUGCGUGCUUCAGACACUCCGCGGCAGUGGGCCUAUUUUCUGGAGUAAAAUCUAGGAUCGGUCGAAGAAAGUCAGCAAACCCGUUGGCGUCCGUUUCAGUGAAAUUGUACCUCUCGACAAGUACACGUUCCAAAGGCCAGAACUUGAGCCUUCUGAUCCUCUUUAAAUCUCCAUGUCGGUCGAAGUAAACCUUGGAAUGGGUACCUGAGCUAGCAAUCUGAAAGAUAACAGCAAGAUUAGGGAGCACACUAGGGAGCAUGACAGAGAGAGCAGGAGAGAGUUUAUAAACCUUCUUAGGCAUCUUUCCAAGUGUUUCCAUCAUCAGAGCUAGGUGAUCCUACAAAGGGUUAAGCAAUUGAGAAGAUGAGUUGAAUGGUUGAUAAUAACACUUGCAUCAUUGCAUGGCAUCAGAGUAGACUUUGUAGCUAAGAAUAGACAUCUGAACUUGAUUUGUUAAUGAGUACUAUAAGUGUCACUAUGACAAACAAUCUUACAUAGGUAGACAUGGGAUUCACUUUAAAGGAAAAUCCACCAGGCAGAGUAACAAGCAUUUUAGCUGCCAUUAUUCAAUUUUCACUGGCUACAGAACAGUCUGUUGGUGUUGGUACAUUACCUUGUGCCAGUGUAUUACAUCUGGCAAGGAGAAACAGAACAGCUCAAUUUAGAGUUGCUUUUUAGUACACUGUAGAACCAGAACAGGGCACUUGAAUUUGAACCGUGUAUCACAUUAAGAUGCAAUUUCCUCUGUACAGCAGUCCUAUGAUAUCUGGUAACUGUACAUGAAAUGUUUCUAUAAAUUCAGUUUGGACUUUGCUGCAUCCAGGGAUGUCUGACCAAUCAACAUAACAACUGCUGGAAUUCUAAAAAACAGGUUGACGCCUGCAAUCUAGGCAUUACGAUGAAUAUACUAGCUUGAAUAAACGUCAGACAACCCAGGUACUAACAAAGGUAGUUAAAAAAUAUAUGAAAGAGCCUUCGUUAUCAAAGCUACUAGCAUAUGGAAAACAGUGCUGAAAAUAGAACAUGAAAUUCAUGUUUUUAUACCUCAUCUUCAUUGCAGCCCUGGCAAUUCUUAGGAGCAAACAGCAUGUCACCUGUGGCAAGCUCGAAUACCAUACAAGCGAACGACCACAUAUCGGCUGAAUAAGAGUACACAGAACCGAUGAUAACCUCAGGGGCUCUAUACUCCCUUGUCUGUAUCUCACCAGCAAGCCGCUGGUCAGCCCAGCAGGCAUUCCCGAAAUCGACAAUCUUGCACUUCAUACUAAUGCCAUCUAGACUUCUCUCCUUCUCCACCUCCGCCCCAACUCCACCGAGAGACACCCGCCUCAGUGAAAUCUUAGCCACGGCACGUCUCGCCCGUAUCUUAAGCAUCUUUUCACUGAAACUAGUCACCUUUCCACCAUAUUGGUUUCCCACAGGCCUUUCCAAGAUCGGGGUAAACCCGGAGCGCACUGGGUCCUUCGAUGGGUUUAUUGUCGACACAAGGAGGACAUUCUCUGGCUUCAAAUCCGUGUGGAUGAUGCCAAGCUCCCUGUGCAGGUAAUCAAGACCAACCAGCACUGACCGGCAAAUUUCCCUCACUCUGCUCAGCCCAAUGCCCUUGUUCCUGUUGUACCGUAUCAGCCGCAGCAAGCUGUCGCCAAGGAACUCGGUUACCAGACAAAUGUGCUGACCAUUUGGACCAGAAUGCUUGAAAUGGUCCAGCAAUUGCACAACGCACUUGGAAUUCGUCGGGUCACCCUUGGCUACCGCCGACAGUAACUCGAUCUCAUGGAGGGCCGCAUGCGCAUAAUCCCUCGCGCUCUUCUGUAUCUUGAGCGCCACAAACCUCUGCAGGUUUUACAAUGGCAGUAUCAAAUUAGCAAUUUGUACCGUAUAGAUUGCACAAUACAAAGUUCCAUUCUAGACGGAAAACAGGAAUCAGUUUUGUUCUCAGUUCACACAUAUCAAAAGAGAGACCAAAAACACGAGUUUUCUUCUCUACUUUACCAGUUUUGUAAUCUUGGGAUCAAAAUGAAGAGUUUGUUGAAAUAAAGGUCGGCGGAAAGCUCUACAGAAUCAAAUUUGAACAGAAAAAUGAUGCACAGAAGCUAGCAAUGGAACAGGGGUAAAAGCGACAAAGCGCCAUGUUUCGGAUUGCAGCAAGCUCCCAAACAAGUGAAACAACCUCCACCCAAGUUUGGAAAAUCCAAAAGCAACCGAAAAAAUCGAACAAAUCUCCAACGCCGCAGAAAGAACAAGCCAUGAAAACAAAGCACCAUGGAACAGGAAACAAUUAGCAAGACGCGGGAAGCAGGGAGAUGAGGGGCCGGAGAAGGGACGUGCCUUGAGGAGGGUGUCGUACGCGAGCCAGACGGUGGAGAAGUUGCCCCAGCCAAGCUUCCGCUGCGCGACGAACCUCCCGCCGGCGAACCGGUCCCCGGGCCGCGCGGCGUGGUACCCGCCCUUCCGGUACCCCUCGGGCCCCUCCUCCUCGUCCUCCCCAUCUGACCCGGACGAGUAGCCAUAGCCGCCGUUGCCGAACGCCGCCAUCGAUCGGUCCUCCUCCCUCCGGAUUCGAACUCUUUGCGGGGAGCGAGGGGGCAGGCGGCUAGGCUAGGCUGGGUUUGUAUGCCUUUGUUAAACGAGAGGAUUUUUCUGGUGACUUUGUUCGGUCGGGGAGAAAAGUGGCCAUUCCACCACCACCACCACCUGCUGCGGCGGAGUAGGAAUGGAUGGGAUGGCCGCCGGUCACGCGGUUAAAUUGCAUCAAUUGCUAUCGAAUGCUAAAUUACCGGAAUCUAUCACAUUAGCGCAAACCAAGGUUAAAUCACUUGUAGAAAUACUUUAUUUUUAAAACGCUGUGAAAUUUCUGACGUGUAUGACUAUGACGUCAAUCUUUUUUCUAAAAAUGACUCGCACUUCUUUGCAAGAUUGAAAAAUUAGACAUUGUGAUGUAAUUCAUGAUAUGGUAUUUUUUUUAAAUUGCUCGAAACGAGACAUGAAAACUAUAGUUGGACGACCUUGGGCUGAGAAGGAUUUUCGGCAAACUCUGCCUUAUGUUCUUUUGGUAAAUAUUGAAUUCCCCGCAAAAAAAGAGACACGACAAUAUAUCUGGAAAAUGGUUGUUAAGGAAAAACUUUACGUUGAUGCUAUUUUGAUAUAUAUUUUGUGUAAACAAGCCGGACAUCUUUAUCGUUUUGAUCCUAUCCUACACUUACUUUGGAUCAAGUUUAUAGCAAAAUAAUUGGUCAUAAAAGUAUGAUAACAUAUCUAAUUUUUUUAAAGGAAAAUCUUUAUUGGUGAUUAUGUGAUAUACGUCUCGUGUAAACGUCAUGUAAACAAGGCAUGAUGUUAGAACGACUCUUCAAGUUAUAAAAGAGUCAGGUUGCGUGCAUAAUAAUCUAAACCAGCCGAAAAGAUAUGUCAAAGGACGCAAGUGUCAAUCUUUACUCUUAUAAAAGAGUCAAUUGGUGGCGGCAGUCCGUCACAUCCUUUUGUUGUAAAUAAAAAAUCUUCUCACCUUUUCUAUUGUCAAAAGAAAACUUUUCCUCUUUUUCCAAUGCAAACAGUGAAACCUAUUUGUUCCGUUAUCAGUUGAUAACGGACCGCGGCUAUAAUUUCGGUCGAAUGGGAAAAACAAAAAUUAAAUCUAUUGCAAAAAGCUGACAUGUGGAUAAUGUUUGUCACCAAAAUUAAAAUUAAAUAGACAGUCUUUUGCAGUAGGUCACCAAAAGGCUCACAUGCUAUGAAUUAAAUAUGUAAUAGUGAUUUUAGUCUAACAGUGAGUAGUCUAAUUUAUUUUAUCCAUAGCAACGUAUGGGUAUUUAGCUAGUAAGUGAAAAGGGAGUGAAGAAGGAGGAUAGGCCGUUAGUCAUGAACAAGUAACAAAAUAUGACAGACGAAUCAACAUUGGGUCUAACCGAUGUUCUCUUGAAAUGUCACGAAAUGUUUUCACUGAAAAUGUGAUGUUUUGUAUGUUGUUGAGCGAUUUCUGUUACAACUCGUUUGGCAUCCAUUGUUUCAUUUCAUUUGAAAUGAAAUCCAGAAAAAGUAAUGACUCCUAGAGAGUAUUAAAAAAUCUGGCCAGUAUAAUGCUGCAAAAGCUUGCGAUAUGUUCACGGUUAUUGUAGCCGUUCAAGAAUUUCUUUUACACGUGCACGGGAGAUCUGCUCCAUAGCCGGUGGUCUUUGUUCGUGAGAUCUGCCCUAGUGACUAGUGAGGUCCUGGCCAAUUUUUUUACUCCGAUUGAAUUGGGAUCCUGUCUACCGACGUGACGGUUGGUCAUCGUCUCCUUGGGGAGCACCGGAGCAUGUGUCGUCAGUUGGUAGCUCCCUUUCUUUUCUGUCCGAACAAAAAUAUGCUAGCUGGUGCACUUGCAAAAGCCUGGAUGGGCUUGGCGACCUGCUGGGCUGCCAAAGUGGUGAAGCACGUGUGCACGCGCAGGGCUGCCGGCCACCAAGUCUCGUGGACAUCUAUAAAAAAGAGUUCGUUCGUUCCCGUACAAGAAAAGGAAAUUAUUAAAAGGACCUCGUCAUGGUCUC